UCCAACAAAAUGACCUACUAUCAAGCUAUAAGCCUGAAAAGGAUAAAUAAUGAGAUGGUGAGUUCAACAACUCAGUGAGUAGAUAACGUUCAAUAUACACACACGAGGUAAUACAGCAAUGAGAAAUAUAUAUACAAGUAUGGCUCUAGGUUCUUAUAGAAAGGUUUUUCAAAUAGGCCAUAACAAGAAUAUCAUAUGGUAAAGCUCGUCAGAAAAUCAAAAUGCAAUGAGCAUGAGGCUCCGUACUGUGGGAUGAUCAGUCCACACAGGUUGGUGACUCCCCCGACCAACUAGGGUUCAGAUACGAUGUGCACAAAGACUAACACUACCCUGUUAGCAUGGGUAUUCUGACUGACAUACCAUAGGUUCAUAAUCAUAAUCAUAAUCAAACAGACAUAUUCAUAUCUCAAGGCUCAACUCAUGACAUCAAUCAAAUGAGGAGCUAUCAAUUCAGAAUUCAAUUCAAAAUAUAUACUGGUUCAUAUCAAGAAUUCGGAUUCAACAAUUGAUCAUGCUUUAUCAAAACAAGGAUAAUAAUCAACAUAUAUAUUAUCAAGAAGCAUGAUUCAAUUCAUAUUAACAAAUCAAAUAUUUAUACUAUUUCUCAUGCAUAUGGAAAAUUAUCCACUCACCUGACUCAAAAGCAAACAGAAGCCAAAAGCAGACACCGAAGAAAAUCCUACUGACGUCCUGUCGGUAGAAUAUCAGGAUUAUCUGAAUACAAAGGAGACAUAUUCAAGAACGACUCAAAAGAACAUUUAACCUAUUUAAUAAACUUAACUAAUGAUGUAUUCCGUAACCCUAUAUGUUUUUGAACUAACUAGUCAAUUUUCUCAAAAACCCAAAAUUUAACGGUUUUCCCGAAAUCCAAUCCAUAAUAAAAACAACUAAUAAAAUUGAUAAUAAUUUACUAAAUAACCCUUAUUAUUCAUCAAACUAAUCUGAAAAGGCUAAUAUUACAGCUAGGGACCAAUCUGUAAUUUAUCCUAUUUUAAGGGUCAAAUUGCAAUUUUUGUCCAAUUGGAGGACCAAACUGAAAUUUAUCAUAAAUCCAUGAAUAUACUGAAAUUCUGACCAUAAUUAGUCCUCAUUUCUGUCCAGAUCAUCUCAUUAUACUCCAAGGACCAUUCUGGAAUUUUACCAAAUUUUUAGGGUCAAAUUGUAAUUUUUGUCAAAUUGAAGGACUAAAUUGAAAGUGUUAAAUUCUCUUAUCUAUACAGUAAUUCUGUCCAUAAUUCAUAUGUUAUUCUGUUCAGAAUCUCGGAAUAUGCUCCAGGGACCAAUCUGCAAAUUUUCCAAAGUUUGGGGACUAAACUGUAAUUUUCCAAAAUUGAGGGACCAAACCGAAAUUUUGUCAUCUUCAACCUCCAACCCAGAAUUUUUAACAGAAACCUACUGUUCUUGCUAAAUUUCUAACUCAACAUUCACCAUUUACACAAUUCAUAACUCAAAAUCAUCACAAUCUUCCAUAAUCAACUAAAUCAUCAAUUAACCACAACAAUCAACCCCUAACAUUCAAUUUAAUUCAUCAAUUAAACUCAAAACACAAAUUUCAUAACCCUAACAUUCAUCAAAAUCGAAAUUAAAGCUUAAUUAACACAUAUUUAUACAUAAUCUUACCUUUAAACUUAUUUCCUUCAACUCCUUUCUAAUUUCCCUCUUUUCUCUUCUUCUUCUUUCUCCCUUCUCUCUCCUGCCGAUUCUCUCUCAAAUUUUCAGAUCCCUCUUUUGUUUUUUUUUUCUUCUAUUUAUAUAUAUUAUGUUUAUCUAAUUACCACACUACCCCUCAUACAUUUAUACCCACACUUUAAGCCACCAAGGGCUUUGUUGUAUUUUCCUACUCAUUUAUUCAAAACAUCACAACCUGCCUCUCCACAAUGUGAGCAAUAAGGGCGUCCUCUGCCUGAACCAGAAUGACGCCUGUCUUGAUGAAAUCGGCUGCCCCCAGUGAAAUUUUCUUUUGAUCGGGGAUCUGGCACUCCAUAUGAGUGGUCAAAUCGGUCGGAUCUUGCCGACCCUCCAUUGAAAUUUCCAGUGGGUCUAUGGUUGCUGUUUCGAACUGCCAUGGCAGCGCUUGUUCCAGAAUCACUUACUGUGUGUGUCGAGCUUAGAAGACGCUGUUUUUCUUCUUGAGAGAUGGAGGAAUAUGCUUGGCGAACUGAAGGAAGGGGAUUCAUGAGGAGGAUCUGCCCGCGAACAGCACUGUAAGAAUCAUUUAAUCCCAUUAAAAACUGCAUCAAUUUUUGUUGGUCUUGUUGUUGUCCAUGUGUGGUGUCAUUAUAGGACGCCAGUUCAUCCCAUAGGCCUUUCAAUUUUGUGUAAUAUGCAGAAACAGAGAGUUGCUCUUGUCGAAGACAGGCAAUAUCUCGUUGGAUUUCGAAGAUACGGGGUGCGUUGCUUUGGGAGAAUCGUUCACGAAGGUCUUCCCAAACCUCAUGAGCAGUAGAGUAAUAGAUUACACUAUCUGAAAUUUCUAGACUAAGAGUAUUAACGAUCCAGGAGUGAACCAUGUCAUUGCACCUAGACCAGGUUGCGUAUUCUUCUUGAUCAAUUUCUUUUGAGGGGAUUUUGAUUGAACCAUCGACAAAACCAAGUUUGUUUUUAGAAUUCAAGGCCAGAGUCAUGGCCCUUUUCCAAGUAGAAUAAUUGUCUCCAUUCAAAGGUUUUGGAAUUAAGAUCAUUCCUGGAUGAUCAGAAUGAUGAGUGAGGAAAGGGCUUGAGAGAUUUGCCUUUGAAACAUCCAUGGAAGAGUUUAGGAUGUGAUAGUGGAUCGGGAAUUUUUUCUGUCAAGCUCUGAUACCAUGUAAAACUUAAGAGACAAAGAGAAUUGAAUCUGCUUGAACGAUAUUAUUGAUCUCUGUAUCUUUACAUGUAUUUAUAGAAGCAGGAUUCCUUAUACAAGCAGGAUUCCUUACACAGGUAGGAUUCUAGGCUUUCCUUCCUAUUAGGAAUCAAUUACUACAUUGUAAGUUAUCGUUACAAUAGGAAAGUAAAUAUGUACAGAUUGUGGAAUUACUAACAAGGACACAGAAAAUGCUCAUCAUUUUACUCUCCUUUGAUUCAAGUGAGAUGUAAUAGAUCAAUAAGUUCAACUGGCAUAAGUUUAAUUUCUAACAUAAUUAAUGUAACUAUAUAUUCACCCAGGAUUUCUUUCACCCAACAUACAAAGGUUUUGCUAACUAUAUAUUCACAAGUAGUUGACUCUUACAAAUCUGAUGCACCACACGCGGCAAACAUCGAUCGCAAGAAAAUAUUCCAACACCCAGUACUGAAGCAACUUCUCAUCUUUCCCAGCUAAACAAUGCUCAUCAUGGUUCUAGACUCAAGAUAAUGAAAGCUCUUCUUCCUUCAAGGAUGGUGGAAACUCGUCCUGGCUUGCUUCCUCAAAACUAGCUGAAGUGGAUUCUGCUUCAGCAUUGGGGUUUAAACCAGCAAGAUGCAAGAUAUUCUCAAUCUCUUUCACCACUUCACCCAUUGUUGGCCUGUCACUUCCUUUCUCUUGUACACAUUUCAUUGCCAGAUCCACUGUCUUAUCUAGACCUUCCGGCUUCGUGUCUAAACCAAUGCUUGGGUCAAGAAGUUCAUGAAGGCUAUAUAGAUCUUUUUUUCUAUCCAAUGAGCUACUUACCUCCGCUACAAGGUAUUUCCCUCGCUCUAAAGGCUUUCUUCCACUUACUAGUUCCAGCAACACAACUCCAAAGCCAUAGACAUCACUCUUCUCAGUCAAGAGCAGGGUCUCCUGAUAUUCUGGAUCUAUAUAACCCUAAGCAGAAAAUAUAGUAAUCUUGUCAAUUGUAACCUUUGAUAUAUAUUAAUUGGCUUUAAUCAUAGACCAGCAGGCGACCUGCAUUUAAUGAAACUAGAUAGUCUUAAAUUAAUGAUGUUUUGGAGGUACUGACCCUUGUCCCUUUAACUUGAGUGGUAGCAAGAAUAAGCUCACUAUUGUCCAUGGGCUUGGAAAGACCAAAAUCAGCAACUUUAGCAUUUAAGCUUUCAUCCAGUAAUAUGUUAGCUGAUUUUACGUCCCUGUGGAUAAUACGAGGCUUGACAAGCUCGUGCAAGUAGGCAAGACCUCUUGCUGCACCAAGAGCCACAUUAAGUCUCCUCCUCCAAUCCAGCCAGAUCCCGCUCAAACCUGCUUACAUGAGAAGAGGAUAUAUAAUUGUGUAGACUUACUACAACUAUAGAAUGCGUGUGCUUAUUUUCGGAACAAAGGCACCAAAGGGUUGUCUCCAUUGGAUGCAAGAGUUGUCAUGAAAAACUCAAUGCUUGUAAGAUUGAAAGGUUCCAUGCGAUUCAUGAAGCAUCUUGUUGAAUCAUUUAUAGGUGCCAGUGUAAUACCUGAUAGGCUGUCCCUGAGACUACCAUUGCGAACAAACUCAUAAAUUAGCAUCUGUUCACCUCUCUCAAAGCAAAACCCAACAAGGUUUACAACAUUUUUAUGAUGAACUCUCGAUAAAACUUCUAUCUCUGCGUUGAAUUCAAGCCCACCUUGCACCGAUCCUUGUCGACAUCGUUUGAUGGCAAUCAGUUGUCCAGUAGGAAGCAUCCCUCUAUAAACCUGUACACAAAAAUGUUGAAAGACUCAAGUAUUGUGUUGCUGAAAAAACACCAUGCCAGCUCAGAAGUUAGAUAGUUUGAAGGCAAAUUGCAACCAGCAACACCCACAAUCAUUGUUUAUGCAAAUGAAACCACCAAGGCAGGACAGGAAAAGAGGGAGAGACUUGCCAUUCCGUAACCCCCUGAACCAAUAUGAUUGGCUUCCGAGAAAUUAUUGGUGCUCUUCGUAAUCUCAUCGAAAAAGAAGCAUCUGGCUCCCUUCAACUGAGGAACUCUGUCACUUUUCUUUAAAUCCAAGUAUGCUGCAAUUUGGCAAAAUAAAGAAAAAGAAAUAAACCCGCAAUUUUCGAUGAUGAACGGGAAAAUAUCAGGUCUAAAAACUAGAACUUUAAAGUACCAAAAUGAUUCUUCUGUUCACUUGCUCUUUCUCUUCUUUUUUUCAGACGAUAAGCGUAUACCCCUGCAAGAAGCAAUAGUAGCAGGAAAGAGGCUCCUCCAGCCGCAGCCCCAAUGAUACUUCCAGUGCUCCAUAACUUGUUUGAUACCGUGAGUUUUCCUGCAUGAAAAAGAGGGAGGGAGGGAGAGGGAUGGGUCAUCAGAAGAAAGAAAGAUCAAUGUAAACAAAAAUCUCUCACUUGUGCAUGAAAUGUGAAAUUACCAUCGAAGUAUGGGUAUGCAGCACCCUUAAAAUGUGAAGGUCCAAAGAUAUCUGGAUUUUCAAUAGUCUGAAGGUUUAGCACAGAUCCAAUUUCAGAAAUCGUAGUUGUGUUAAAGUGAUUUUGGCCCGAAGGAAACACAGAUACGUUCGAUUCAAGAUACCCCAACGAAUCAUUUGUUGGACAAUUUACAUAAACUGAAUCCACAGGAAGCCUAGAGUUCUUAAAGGAAUGCAUCAGAGACUCUUCUACCAGACAUCGAUAAGAAGUUGCGUUUCUUGACUCUAAAAAUGGAGGUCUGAAGAAUAGUACUCCUGUGUACGGAUAAGAGAAUUUGCUGUUGGGACUGGAAAUCUGAUCUGAAGUGCAGGGGAGGAGAAACGAAGAAUUGGCUUGAUGAACUGUGCAGUAAUGUUCUGUUGCUUCUGUACGCUCACAAACUGGGUUACCCACAAGUCUGCAAAAUUUAACACAUAAAACACUCUUACGCAGGCAAGUAGCAUAGCACAUCUCCUCAGGAUUUAACUUUUCACACUACUAACAUGACAAGGUUUCAGUCAGAUCUUCAGACUUUUGAAUGAUCUGUGUAAUUUUACAAUAUCUGAGAGGGACCGUUGUAAUUCAUCCCACAAUAAGAAGAAGAAGAAGAAUGCCUCUUACAUUACAUCCACGUUAUUCCUUUGUUCUGGUGUUUCUGAAUAGAAUGAAAUGAGAUUGUUUCGCAUAUCAAUGGCUUCCAGCUGGCUGCUAGAGCUUCUUGCAAUAUCCAAUGUGCCAUUGAGCUGGUUGUUCCUUAGAAUCCUGUAACCAUUUGUGAAUUUAGAUAUCCAUCAGUUUCCAUGAGAUGAAAGAAUCUAUCAAUAUCCAUGAAGUUGAUUGCUAUGGUACUAAAGAAACAAGUGGAAGGAUACUCACAAAGUCUGUAAACUAGGAAGAUCGAAGAGGGUAGGAGGAAUCUGACCUUCAAGUCCAGUGUUUUCCAUCAUUCUGUUAUUCACAGGAAGGGAAGAAGGCUUCACUAUGUUGACAGCGUGAAAAAUCAUAAAUUGUAAACUUUUAUACACAGGAAUGCAUAGUCAAUAAGAGGUUCCAUGGACAAAAAUGUCUCUGUCAAAAAACCAACGACUGCUUCAUAUAACACUUACUAAACAUGGAGACAAUUAUAAUCUAGCAUGUAAAGAUGAUGCCUGAGCAAAAUUUUAAGGGCUAAUUGCAAAGUGGGAUGGUGGAAAGGGUUUGUGAUUCUUGAAAGAAAACAGUCUAGUUAAGGCUUCAUUGAGUUGGUCGAGUGUGUGUGAUGACAGAGAGAAAAGGAGGGAGGAAGGGAGACAUACAGUGUUGUCAAAGCCCGUAAGUUUGAGAAUGACGACGGAUUUUGGUCAAAGUAGGAAUUUGGAGAAAAGUUGAAUUGUAUUUCAUACUGAGAUACCUAACAACGUUAAUAGACUGGAAAUCUUACAAGUAGCUGAGAUAAGCCAUGCCAGUGAGAUUAGGAACAGGCCCAGUAAAUUUAUUGUUGGACAAAAUCCUGAAAUUUAUCAGCAAAAACACUCUUAACAGAGUGAGAAUUCGCACAAAAGACUUAACAAACUAGCCAAACCAUUGUGAUAUCUUUACUGGCAAUGUCGUUUUCUGUAUACUUACAACGUCUUCACAGUGGUAAGAUUGUUGAGGUUUGGAGGGACAGGUCCAGUUAAUGAAUUCCCUUCAAAACGUCUGCAACAAAGAUAAGGCAUUCAAUACAAACUAGAUCAGUGUAGAAUCACUUCAGUUUGUCAUGUAGAUGCUUACAUAGCCUCCAAAGUCUGCACAAGUCCAAGGGUAGAAGGAAUGCUUCCCGUGAGAUUAUUGUCAUGCAAAAGCCUGCACAGAAGUAAUGUAUAUGAUGUAUAUAGGUGGUUCUAAUUGAUCAGAUAUGGAUUUAUUAAAAUUGUAAACCUUUUAAAGAAAUAUUGUUUUCUUUUAAAUUAAAUUAAAAUUCCACUUCCUAUUUUCUCCCCUAUUCCAUUGGUGAAGUAGUUUGACUUCAACAUCCAAAGCAUUUACAAACUUACACAUGAAUGAGAGUCAUGUCUGAUCUGAAAAGUUCUUUCGGGAUUGUGCCUGAGAGCCGAUUCCUUCCUAGAUGACUGAAUAAUUUUCAGACCAGCAUAAACAGAUGUCAAUAAAGCCGAAGCAAGAGAGCACAAAUCAGCUGGACAAAUACAAGGAAAUUUGACAUACAAGUGUUUUGUAUUAACUAGCAUAUUAAGACCAGAUGUAGUUCCACUGGAGACAGGGAUGGCUCCAUCGAGCUGAUUAUAAGAUAGAUCCAGCAAAAAGAGUUUCGAAAGGUUUCCAAUUGAAUGUGGAAUUUGUCCAGUGAAUCUAUUAGAAUUCAGGUCUCUGCGGGAAAUAGCAAUAGAGAGUCUCAGAAAUGUUGCCAAUAGAGCACAUGUUUAGUCCACAAGAAAACAAUAAAACACUUACAGAGACUCCAGCAGCUGAAGAGACCCUAUCAACUCAGGGAUAGGGCCAUAGAAACUACAACCAACCAACUUUCUAGAAUGGAAGAAAAGAAAAUUCUGUCUGUUAAUUAGAGGACUGGUGUCAGUUAAUACUAACAUCAUAUUAUUCCCUUACAAGUUUUUUAGCUUCUUCAAAUUCACAAUUGAUGCCGGAAGUGUACCGCUCAAACCCGUGUUGUACGAUAGAUCCCUAUAACCAGACACUGUUAAUGAGCAAGGAAUCCUUGGAAUGGAAAACAAUCACUAUGUUCAUAUAUCAAGAAAAAGGAUGAAAGGAGCUCUGGGAAUGAGGCCUUUUCUCAAUAGGUGCCUCAUGCCUUGAGAUCCGGAUGCUAGAGCAGCCCAGUCUAGACAUCUGGAAAGCCAAAGAGUAUCGUAGCACUACAUCAUUUAUUAUGUGAAGUGAAACUCAAGACUUACAGAACCUCCAAUUCUGACAAGUAGGAGAUGUCUCCAGGCAGCUCACCCGUCAAUCCCUCAGCUGCCAACGUUCUGCAGUUGAAAAUAGUCAGCUAAUCUCGAAACUUGGAGAAGGAAGAAAGGGUGAGGCUUAAUUAACAUUAGAAGCUGAACAACUGCCAAUAACUUACAUCCAAGUCACACGUGAAUUGUAACAUGAAAUGCCUUCCCAUUUGCCUCCACAGGGAUCUGCACCUACCCAAUUACGUGGUGUGUUUUUCCAGGCAUCCAUGAGCAUACUCAUUACUGUAACUGCAUCAGGAAUGGGGCAGAACAAUAAAAAAUUUCCAUGAUUCAAUCACCAUCAGAGUUGUCUAGUUACAUGGAGUAUGGAGGAUCCAUUAAAGCUAGCAAAGAAAUCUACUAAAUCUAAUCUAGCCUCGAACUUUAAUGAGUGAUUUUUGGCCCAAGUGCAGGCAAUUCAGAAUAUUCAUUCUGCACUUCAUCUGUUAAGUUAAGAAGACCCUUAAGCACUUGAUUCUGAUUAGCAUAAAAAGCUACAUCCUACAUGAGACAUGGCUCAAAAACUCUUUGUAGUAAAUGGGGAAUGUUAAUUUAUUGAACUUACAAUCAUCACCAUAGGUCUCUGUAUAAAUCUGAAAGGAAGCAACCAGCAAAAACGUGAGAACUUUGGGACACAUUUCUCAAAAGAAUUGCGAAGCUCUUUGUUAUGAGUGUUGCAUAACUCCAAAACCCUUUAAUAGCAGAAAUGAUAUCUAGAAGAACAACUCUUAAUAUGAUAAAACGUGGAAGAAAGAUCUUUACAUAUCCCCAUCGUUUACUUAUCUCAAGAUUUAUAUCGUGAAAGGACAUGAAUGGGACAUUUUUGUUCGUAUGAAUCACAUACUAAAUACAAAGACAAUUGACCUCCCAUCUCUAGUCAUUUUCAAGUUCACAGUCAAUAUGAAACUCUAAGACUCCUAAAAAUACAAGUAGAGAAACAAUUUAUGAGUUUCAUUCUACUAGAUACCGUAGGUGAUAAGAAUGAGUUGUGAGAGUGAUAGAAGAACCCACCAAAUGGUCAUGAUUGUCUGCUAAAGUCAUUAUUGAAGCGAUCAAUACAAAAACUUAUCAAUUGUUAAUGAGAUGUGUAGAUGAUUUUACUAAGUCUACUAAUUAGACAAGUACUAGAAAGAAAUGCAUUUGACAGUUGGAGUUUGGCUCAUUUAAUGAUUCAAUUGCUAAUCUAAAUGGAAAAAAAAAAAAAAAUUGAUGUAAAGGAAUUUACCACACUGGACCAUGAGCCUGCUAAACUUUAAAACUAAAUGCUUGCAUGAGUCCCGGGCUGAUUUGCUUGACCAAUCAGCACUUUAACCUGAUUUGUGAGAGGAAUAUAUCCAAGAUCGACGGAGAACGCGUUGCAAAUAUUCUACAAUACCAGCUGUUCCUUAGAAAACCAGGUCUAGAAGUUAUUAUUUUUCUAGUUAAUAUUAAAUUUUAAUUAUUUGUUUUAUUUAGCUUUGGAUUCUCUGGUUCAGUCAGUUUUAAACAACUACUUGAAUAAUUGUUGUGUUAAUUUUUUUUUGUUAGAUUAUUAAUACAAACUUUCCAACAAUAUUAGAGCUUUUAUCUAUUUCUCUACAAUUUAAAGUCUGCAACCUUAGGGUUUGAAAAUCAUAAUCUUUAUCUAUGCAAUAUGAUUUGUCAACCUCAACCCUAAUGCAACAAUAAUAUUGGGAAAGAAGUAUUAAAAAUGCCAAUUUGAUUAUUACUUUAUGACUUGCUGCUGCCAUUGUUAUUAACAAGCAGUUGGUUGCUACAGAGACAAAAACUCGUCUAUCUGACAACAGUAGAAAAUGAUUCAUGAAGACAUCAGAAUUUCUUCCAAACGAAUCAUUCCUUGUAAUUGCAAACACAUGGAUGGGUCCCCUCCUCUCUAUGAAUGCUUACAACAAAUCAUUCUCUUAGACUUGACAGCGCCUGACCUAAUCUUGAUCCGUGGGGAAGACGGCACUGCAGUUUCUCAGAUGAUGCCAACAAUUAGGACAGUACACAAGAAAGGUAAACCCAAGAAACCAGAGAUUUAACUGCACUCCUCAUUAACAGUAUCAUAAAAGGCAAAAAGGUCGUGAAAAAAAUGAAAAUAGUUGAAACAGUCAACAGCGUUCUUAACCACAACAGCAGUUCAUUUUGUCCUCUAAUGUUAUGAGAGAGAAUCGUUGUAAUUCUUCUACUAUCUUUAAUAUUAAUAAUAAUAAUUGAAAUGAAAGGGUUCAAGCUCUCAUCCCUUUCCAUUACAUGUUAUAGUUUUCAGCCCCGGUCGGUUACCGAAUCAAUUAUUCUUAUUAAAAUAGUAUCACUUCAUUCUUAAAAAAACAUUUCUCAGUAUAUAUUGAUUGUACCGAGUUUAACUGGAUCAACCAAAUCGAUCAAGUCAACUGGGUUUUUCUGAUUCAGCUUAAAACUCAACCCAUAUCAAGCUCUGUAUAUAUCAUAGGUUUUCUAGAUUACUCUUCCGACCAGAGUUAAUAGCUAUAAAUAUAUAUCAUUCUAAAAUGCUUGUUAUUCCGACUAAGGUUUUCUUGUUCAGCCUCUCACAGUUCAUUGUGGAUUCAAUACAGUUUACUGUAACUGCAUCAGGAAUGGGGCAGAACAAUAAAAGAUUCCCAUUAAAGCUAACAAAGAUCCGCGAACUGUAAUGAGUGAUUUUUGGCCCAAGUGCAGGCAAUUCAGAAUAUUUCGGAUACUGUACGUGAUAAGAAUGAGUUGUGAGAGUGAUAGAAGAACCCACCAAGUGGUUUCUUGCAUAUAGUAAACGUUGAUUCUAAUAAUAAGCAUCCACUCUGAUUGCAUCUGCAUACGCUUACAGAAUACAGAGAGUAUUUCGACAUUUCCUAGAAGUAACAGGGGUCAUGAUUGUCUGCUAAAGUCAUUUUUGAAGCAAUCAAUACAAGGAGUUAUCGAUUGUUAACGAGAUGUGUAGAUGAUUUUACUAAGUCUAAGAAUUAGACAAGUGGAAAGAAAUGCAUUUGACAGUUGGAGUUUGGCUCGUUUAAUGAUUUUGAUUUUUCGAGUUCGGCACAGUUGGAGUGUGCUACAAAAGUGAAAACAAUACAAGAGAAAUGCAACUCGUACUCUCAAGUAAGAAGUAUCACUGAAACAUUUGCCAAGCCAAGCUCAUACCAAGGACUCUGAGCUCACUCAUAGUGGCUCUACCUUUGAAACUGGGAAGUCCCCACUGUAAUCAAUGGCAUCCUUGGUAUAAAUGUAUGGACGUUUAGUACUUCCCUUGCUUGCAUCGUCAUAGUUGUUUGCUAGUCAUUUAAAUUGACAGAAAUAAAUUUUUGUCAGUCAAGAGAUUAGAGCCAAAGAAAAUUCAACAAAAUAUUUGAACUCACUCGUGGAAAGAAUGCUUGCAUCAGUCCCGCGCUGAUUUGCUUGACCAAUCAGAAUUUUUACCUGAUUUUAGUCAGAGGAAUAUAUCCUAGAAUGAUGGGGGUAACUGGUUGCAAAUAUGUUUAUAGACCAAAUAGAUAAGGUUAGAUAUAAAUACAUAUCACCUCAAAAUUCGGAUAGAAAAAAUAUAUAUGUGAUUUUGUUUGCGUUCGGAGAUUUUCUGGUAGUAAAAUAUUUAUGUAUUAGUUAAAGGAUCCAAGAACCUUGUUAUAACUUAAUUUUUAACCCUUUUAUUUAAUUUUUUUGUGUUAUUUAUUUAUUUAUUGAUUUUUACAAUAUUUCCUAAAAAAAAUUAAAAAAUUGUUGAUGAAAAACAAAUAAAAAGUUAAAUAAAUGAAGAAUGAAUUAAAAUGUGGGUUAAGGCAACAUGAUUGGAAGUUUAGAGAUUGAUUAAACUCUUGACUAAUUUAAUUAAUCAAAUCAAGGACUUAAUUGGAGAAUUGAUAAGUUUUGAGACUUAAUUGAGUUGGGAAUUAAUUUAAUUAAUCAAAUCAAGGGCUUAAUUAGAGAAUUGAUAAGUUUUGAGGCUUAAUGGAGCUUAUGAUUAAUUUAAUUAAUGAAAUCAAGGGCUUAAUUGAAGAAAUAUCAAAGUUUGGGGUUAAUUGGGGUCAAAAUUGCAACAGAUUGAAGUCCAAGGACUAGCUUGUAAAAGGCACCGAAAUGAAAGUAUCCAAUUACAUUUUAACCAGGGGCUUGAUUGCAAAAUUACAAGAAUUCCAAGGACCACAUUUAAAGCAGCCUUUGGAAUUGGAAAACGGAGUCGUUUUGGCAAGCGACUGCUCGUCGUCUUCUUCCUCGGUCACGGCUCCGGCAUUAAAGGCAGAGACGUUUCUCCAUUGAAUGCAGCACCCCACGGCCAUUACUGCCGGCCGUUACCAGCGCCGAUCGAUCUCUGACUCUAUAAAAAGCCGGGUAAAGGCAACCUCGCGAGAGGGGGGAAGACUGAGAGAGACGAGGCAGAACAGAAACGAAAGGGGAGGAGAAACAGAACCAGGGCAAAGUUUUGGUCCAUUCAACCAGCAGCACCUCGUGCUUUUACCACAACCGUCUUCAUCCUGAACGGAGAAGACUGGACAGAGCAACAGAAGAGGGAGAACAGAGGGGGAAGGAAGAGGACCGAACGGACAGAACAGGCGAGAGCUAGAGAGAGACGGACAUGGACAGAGGAAGCCAGUAAACGGAAGGAAUUAAGACAGAGGAACACAAAAAAAAAAACAGCAAAAAGUAAAGGAAAACGAGAAUCAGAGACAUAGUAAAGCAGAGGAGAGGAGAACAGCCGACCACCACGCUUCAGUUAUCAUCUCCGUUCCUGCGUUGAGGUAAGCCCCGCUUCUUUUGCAUUUUAAUUCGCUGCUACAGUAGCAGCGAAUUAUAAUUCAUUGGGCAGGCAUGCGUAACGCACGCCUGCCAUCCAGCCGGGUCCCGAGUCGGCUGGGUCAAGAUCAGCUCACAUGAGCUAAGUUGGACCCAGUUUAAAAAUAUAAAAAAAAUAAAAAUAAAAAUAAAUAAUAAAAAUAAAUAAAAAUAGAAAUUAUGCAUGCAUUAGAAAUAAGAAAAUAAAAUGUGUUUUUAUUUAUUUUAUUCACUAAUGCCAGAAUAAAGAAAAUGAUUUUUAUUUUUUUAUUAUUUUUUUUAGCUACGAAUACUUACCGACGCCAAAGUUGAGAUUAUUCGUUGUGGAAUAUUUACCAACGUCAGAGUUAAAAUUAUUUGUAUUAGAAUUUUUACCAACGCCAAACUUUGAAUUAUUUCAUAGUGGAAUAUUUACCAACGCCAGAUUUGGAAAUAUCUGUAAUUAAAUAUUCACUGACACUAGAGUCAGGAAUAUUAGUGGUGAACCGUCAUAACACAAAUCAACAAAAUUUUUAGCAAUUUAAGACAAGACUAGCAAUGUAGCUUACCUGGGGUAGAGUGCGCUAGCGGUGCUAAUACCUUCCCUAGUCACAAUCAGUCCCGUACCAUAGAAUCUCUGUUGACCAGUUAGGGUUUCUAGUGAUCAUAGUACUAGGUGACGACUCUUUAAAUAAGAUAUUUUUUCAUAAAAGAACAAGAUGCCAUAUAUCUGCUCUUUUUCUAUCAAGAUAAUAAUGCGAUAUCCGGGUGCGACAAAUAUGUCAGCAUAAAGAAAAAUAUUAAAUACCUUUUGUUAUAUAUAUAUAUAUAUAUAUGUUAUAUAUAUAUAUAUAUCAACUUUUCUGUAGCUUUAUUAAGAAUUCAAAAAUUACUUUUGAAUUCGAUAAAAAAAAAUAUUAACCAAUAAACCGAGCAUGAAGUUGUUGGAAAAGAUGGAUAGAGUACAGUAGUUAAUUUAUAAGAACAAAGCUAAAUAACAAGAAGAAAAUGAGAUGAAUCUUGGCAGGGACUUUGAAGAGGAACUCAAGAUUAAAUCAAAAAUUUAUGUCAUUGCAAUAUCCUCUUCUUUAAUUUUUCCUUUGGUCAAGAUGGUUAUCGGACUAAUAUUAGUUAUGCCAACCAAGAUGACCAAGUUUCUUAAACGCCAAAAAGUCAAGAAGUUCUGAUGAGAGCUUUCUAUGCUUAUCUUAUUCAUGAAAGAAAAUACGGCGAAGACACUAUUACAAAAGACGGUUGUCUUUACCAACAGUUUUUAGUCGAUGCGUUUGCAAAUGUUGAAGAAGAUAGGCUUGAUUACAUUAGAGCAAACCAGAAUGAUCUUCGAACUGAGCUCUAUCAAGGCAUUAAUGAAGCUGUUCUUAGAGGGGAUGUUCAAUGGUCGACAACCGGAAAAAUUAUUGUCCCCUCUUCUUUAACUGGCAGCCCACGAUACAUGAUAAACAACUACCAAGAUGUCAUGGCUAUUUGUAGAACAUAUGAAAAUCUAGAUCUAUUCAUUACAUUUACAUGCAACACAAACUGGCUUGAAAUCCAAAGAGAGCUUAGAAAAGUGAGAGUUUAUAAGCAUGAAGACAACCCUAAUAUAAUCACACGUGUUUUAAGAACAAAGCUGCUCGAUAUGUUGAAAUUCAUCAAGUUCAGCAUCCCUUCUGGCAAGAAAAUAGCUAGUGAAAUGAUUCUGUCCAUUUUUAUUUCAUUCUUAUCAUGUCUUUCUUUUACUAUUUUUAUUUGUUUUUGUUUUUGUACAUCUUAACAGAUGUAUGCGCAAUUGAAUUUCAAAAAAGAAGCCUUCCACAUACUCACAUUUUGGUUUGGCUUGCCUUGCCUCCGAAUUUAAAUGUCGAUCUGUUGAUAGUGUUGACUCAAUUAUUUCAGCUGAAAUACCUGAUAAAAAUGUUGAUCCUUUGUGUCAUGAUAUUGUUUCUAAGUUUAUGAUACAUGGUCCAUGCGGUACUGCAAAACCAAAUGCAUAAUGCAUGUCAGAUGGUAAAUAUGCAAAAUCAUUUCAAAAUAAAUUAAAAAACUCGACUAUUUUUUGCGAGAACAACUUUGUUUAUUGCAGAAAACAUGAAUAUCAUGAUAAUUUUGUAUUUAAAGAUGGAAUUGGGCUUUUCAAUGACUAUGUUGUUCUGUAUAAUAGAAAACUUUUAAUGCAGUACAAUGCACAUAUAAAUGUUGAGAUAUGCUGUCAAUCACUGUUGAUCAAAUAUCUAUUCAAAUAUGCCAGCAAGGAGCUUGAUAGAUGUAGAAUGGUGCUUCAGAAUGAAACUAAUGAUGAAAUACAUGCAUAUCGUAAUUGUCGAUUUAUCUGCUCCUAUGAAGAUGUUUGAUGUCUUUUCCAAUUUCCAAUUUAUUCAAGAACCCCUACAAUUGAAAGGCUUCAAGGUCAUAUAUUUGCCUUCUCAGCAAAAUGUUAUCUUCUCAAGCAACAACUCUCUUUGUUCUGUUCUUAGAAGGUCAGGUAUCAAUAAAACAAUGCUUACUGAAUGAUUUGACUGCAACGAAAAUUAUGCUCAUGCACGAGAGCUUUACUAAUCACAAUUUCCAAGCAAACAUGUAUGGGAUGGCGGGCUGAAAGAGUGGGUUGUCAUAUCAAGGAGGUUUAGCCUUGGACGUAUAACAUAUGUGCAUCCUGCUGCUGGGGAACUUUAUUUUUUAAGAAAACUUCUAAACCAUGUGAAAGGGCCUACAGGGCUUGAUGAUUUUAAAAAAGUUGGCGGCAUUGUUUGUCCAACAUUUCAGCUUGUUUGCAAGGCAUUGGGUCUUUUAGAUGACGACAAAGAAUGGUCCAAAGCUUAGUGAUCUCAUUCGACGUCAGUGUUUCUCAGAGGCUUCCAUUCUUUGACAACACUGUUGGGUUGUUGCCAUUGCAUGUGCAGCAAAUGGUUGGCACCAACCAUUGACUAUUGGCAGCCACCAUUGUUGAAGGUGAGCUGCAGUUGGUGGCCACCAUUGUUGACAAAAGAACAAGUGGAGCAGCACCAUGGAUGCCUAUAAAUACAGGCAUACGUUUGAGAGCAAAUUGUGAGAGGAGAGAGUGUGAGAGUGAAGUGACGAGAAGAAGAGAGAAAGAGGAGCUGCUGCCAUGGGCAGCAGCCCUGCUGCCAUAUGCAGCAGAGUGUGUGAACUGGGAGUUGAGUGAUCCUCCUCCAUGUAUUGUUUUGUAAACCUUUCUCUAUCUCUAAUACAAUGACGCUCUCCCGUGGAUGUAGGCGUUUUUGCCGAACCACGUAAAAUAUUGUGUCAAUGUGCUUUAAGUCUCCUAUGAACAACUAUCAGUACACCCCCGGUCCGCGCAUGGGGGUGCCGGAAACCCCAACAAUUGGUAUCAGAGCACAUGGUUUAAAGGGGUGUUUGAUUUUGCUCAAAAAUGAAAGUUGUCAAAAUUGUGUUUUGACCAUACCACUACAGAGUGUUGAGGCCAGGGGGCCUCUUCUGGCUUGAUCGCUUCUUCUGCCUGGGAUCACAGCUGAAUCAAACAUACGUUCCAAUGUUGGAUCGUGUUGGAUUCAGGAACCUAAGGUGGAACGCUGGCAUGAAGCUUGAACGAGGGAUUGACAAAAACGAGUGGUAUUUCUCUGCCCUGUUGGAGAAACCAAUGACCUGAGCAACAAUUUUUAACACCAUCAAAUCAAUGCAAUGCAAUGCCAUGCAUGCAGUUUAGGAAGUAUUUAGUUUACAAAUUUUAUUUUUUUAUUCAGUUUAUACCUAUGAUUAGUAUAAAUAAGGUUGUCGCAAUAGCUAUGAUAUUCAUGGUUUUUAAGGGUUUUGACUUUGUAAUAAAUUCUGUUAUUCAGCGUCGUGAUAAUAAUAAUUAUAAUAUUCACAACUUAAAAGAUUGGAUACAGGACACAGAAAAUGCUCAUCAUUUUACUUUCCUUUGAUUCAAGUGAGAGGUCGAAUCAAGAGAAAUAGAUCAAUAAGUUCAACUGGCAUAAGUUUAAUUUCUAACAUAAUUAAUGCAAGAGCACACAGGAUUUCUUUCACCCAAAAUACAAAGGUUUUGCUAAAUAUAUAUUCACAAGUAGUUGACUCUUACAAAUCUGAUGCACCUCACGCGGCAAACAUCGCAAGAAAAUAUUGUAAAACCCAGUACCGAAGCAACUUCUCAUCUUUCCCAGCUAAACAAUGCUCAUCAUGGUUCUAGACUCAAGAUAAUGAAAGCUCUUCUUCCUUCAAGGAUGGUGGAAACUCGUCCUGGCUUGCUUCCUCAAAACUAGCUGAAGUGGAUUCUGCUUCAGCAUUGGGGUUUAAACCUGCAAGAUGCAAGAUAUUCUCAAUCUCUUUCACCACUUCACCCAUUGUUGGCCUGUCACUUCCUUUCUCUUGUACACAUUUCAUUGCCAGAUCCAGUAUCUUAUCUAGACCUUUCGGCUUCGUGUCUAAACCAAUGCUUGGGUCAAGAAGUUCAUGAAGGUUAUAUAGAUCUUUUUUUCUAUCCAAUGAGCUACUUACCUCCGCUACAAGGUAUUUCCCUCGCUCUAAAGGCUUUCUUCCACUUACUAGUUCCAGCAACACAACUCCAAAGCCAUAGACAUCACUCUUCUCAGUCAAGAGCAGGGUCUCCUGAUAUUCUGGAUCUAUAUAGCCCUAAGCAGAAAAUAUAGUAAUCUUGUCAAUUGUAACCCUUGAUAUAUAAUGGCUUUAAUCAUAGACCAGCCGGCGACCUGCAUUUAAUGAAACUAGAUAGUCUUAAAUUAAUGAUGUUUUGGAGGUACUGACCCUUGUCCCUUUAACUUGAGUGGUAGCAAGAAUAAGCUCACUAUUGUCCAUGGGCUUGGAAAGACCAAAGUCAGCAACUUUAGCAUUUAAGGAUUCAUCCAGUAAUAUGUUAGCUGAUUUUACGUCCCUGUGGAUAAUACGAGGCUUGACAAGCUCGUGCAAGUAGGCAAGACCUCUUGCUGCACCAAGAGCCACUUUAAGUCUCCUCCUCCAAUCCAGCCAGAUCCCGCUCAAACCUGCUUACAUGACAAGAGGAUAUAUAAUUGUGUAGACUUGCUACAACUAUAGAAUGCGUGUGCUUAUUUUCGGAAGAAAGGCACCAAAGGGUCGUCAUGGAAAACUCGAUGCUUGUAAGAUUGAAAGGUUCCAUGUACAAUACCUGAUAGGCUGUCCCUGAGACUACCAUUGCGAACAAACUCAUAAAUUAGCAUCUGUUCACCUCUCUCAAAGCAAAACCCAACAAGGUUUACAACAUUUUUAUGAUGAACUCUCGUUAAAACUUCUAUCUCUGAGUUGAAUUCAAGCCCACCUUGCACCGAUCCUUGUCGACAUCGUUUGAUGGCAAUCAGUUGUCCAGUAGGAAGCAUCCCUCUAUAAACCUGUACACAAAAAUGUUGAAAGACUCAAGUAUUGUGUUGCUGAAAAAACACCAUGGCAGCUCAGAAGUUAGAUAGUUUGAAGGCAAAUUGCAGCCAGCAACACCCACAAUCAUUGUUUAUGCAAAUGAAACCACCAUGGCAGGACAGGAAAAGAGGGAGAGACUUGCCAUUCCGUAACCCCCUGAUCCAAUAUGAUUGGCUUCCGAGAAAUUAUUGGUGCUCUUCGUAAUCUCAUCGAAAGAGAAGCAUCUGGCUCCCUUCAACUGAGGAACUCUGUCAGUGUUCUUUAAAUCCAAGUAUCCUGCAAUUUGGCAAAAUAAAGAAAAAGAAAUAAACCCGCAUGCAAUUUUCAAUGAUGAACGGGAAAAUAUCAGGUCUAAAAACUAGAACCUUAAAGUACCAAAAUGAUUCUUAUGUUUACUUGCUCUUUCUCCUCUUUUUUUCAGACGAUAAGCAUAUACCCCUGCAAGAAGCAAUAGUAGCAGGAAAGAGGCUCCUCCAGCCGCAGCCCCAAUGAUACUUCCAGUGCUCCAUAACUUGUUUGAUACCGAGGGUUUUCCUGCUUGAAAAAGGGGUAGGGAGGGAGAGGGAUGGGUGAUCAGAAGAAAGAAAGAUCAAUGUAGACAAAUAUCUCUCACUUGUGCAUGAAAUGUGAAAUUACCAUCGAAGUAUGGGUAUGCAGCACCCUUAAAAUGUGAAGGUCCAAAGAUAUCUGGAUUUUCAAUAGUCUGAAGGUUUAGCACAGAUCCAAUUUCAGAAAUUGUAGUUGUGUUAAAAUGAUUUUGGCCCGAAGGAAACACAGAUACGUUCGAUUCAAGAUUCCCCAACGAAUCAUUUGUUGGACAAUUUACAUAAACUGAAUCCACAGGAAGCCUUGAGUUCUUAAAGGAAAGCAUCAGAGACUCUUCUACCAGACGUGGAUAAUAAGUUGCGUUUCUUGACUCUAAAAAUGGAGGUCUGAAGAACAGUACUCCUGUGUACGGAUAAGAGAAUUUGCUGUUGGGACUGGAAAUCUGAUCUGAAAUGCAGGGGAGGAGAAACGAAGAAAUGGCUUGAUGAACUGUGCAGUAAUGUUCUGUUGCUUCUGUACGCCCACAAACUGGGUUACCCACAAGUCUGCAAAAUUUAACACAUAAAACACUCUUACGCAGGCAAGUAGCAUAGCACAUCUCCUCAGGAUUUAACUUUUCACACUACUAACAUGACAAGGUUUCAGUCAGAUCUUAAGACUUUUGAAUGAUCUGUGUAAUUUUACAAUAUCUGAGAGGGACUGUUAUAAUUCAUCCCACAAUAAGAAGAAGAAGAAUGCCUCUUACAUUACAUCCACGUUAUUCCUUUGUUCUGGUGUUUCUGAAUAGAAUGAAAUGAGAUUGUUUCGCAUAUCAAUGGCUUCCAGCUGGCUGCUAGAGCUUCUUGCAAUAUCCAAUGUGCCAUUGAGCUGGUUGUUCCUUAGAAUCCUGUAACCAUUUGUGAAUUUAGAUAUCCAUCAGUUUCCAUGAGAUGAAAGAAUCUAUCAAUAUCCAUGAAGUUGAUUGCUAUGGUACUAAAGAAACAAGUGGAAGGAUACUCACAAAGUCUGUAAACUAGGAAGAUCGAAGAGGGUAGGAGGAAUCUGACCUUCAAGUCCAGUGUUUUCCAUCAUUCUGUUAUUCACAGGAAGGGAAGAAGGCUUCACUAUGUUGACAGCGUGAAAAAUCAUAAAUUGUAAACUUUUAUACACAGGAAUGCAUAGUCAAUAAGAGGUUCCAUGGACAAAAAUGUCUCUGUCAAAAAACCAAUGACUGCUUCAUAUAACACUUGUAAACAUGGAGACAAUUAUAAUCUAGCAUGUAAAGAUGAUGCCUGACUGAGAUACCUAACAACAUUAAUAGACUGGAAAUCUUACAAGUAGCUGAGAUAAGCCAUGCCAGUGAGAUUAGGAACAGGCCCAGUAAAUUUAUUGUUGGACAAAAUCCUGAAAUUUAUCAGCAAAAACACUCUUAACAGAGUGAGAAUUCGCACAAAAGACUUAACAAACUAGCCAAACCAUUGUGAUAUCUUUACUGGCAAUGUCGUUUUCUGUAUACUUACAACGUCUUCACAGUGGUAAGAUUGUUGAGGUUUGGAGGGACAGGUCCAGUUAAUGAAUUCCCUUCAAAACGUCUGCAACAAAGAUAAGGCAUUCAAUACAAACUAGAUCAGUGUAGAUUAAUCACUUCAGUUUGCCAUGUAGAUGCUUACACAGCCUCCAAAGUGUGCACAAGUCCAAGGGUAGAAGGAAUGCUUCCCGUGAGAUUAUUGUCAUGCAAAAUCCUGCACAAAAGUAAAGUAUAUGAUGUAUAUAGAAUUGUAAACCUUUUAAAGAGGCAAAUUAAAUUAAAAAGAAAUAUUCUUUUCUUUUAAAUUAAAUUAAAAUCCCACUUCCUAUUUUCUCCCCUAUUCCAUUGGUGAAGUAGUUUGACUUCAACAUCCAAAGCAUAUACAAACUUACACAUGAAUGAGAGUCAUGUCUGAUCUGAAAAGUUCUUUCGGGAUUGUGCCUGAGAGCUGAUUCCCUCCUAGAUGACUGAAUAAUUUUCAGACCAGCAUAAACAGAUGUCAAUAAAGCCGAAGCAAGAGAGAACACUAAUCAGCUGGACAGCACAAAGAUAUUUGACAUACAAGUGUAGUGCAUUAACUAGCAUAUCAAGACCAGAUGUAUUUCCACUGGAGACAGGGAUGGCUCCAUCGAGCAGAUUAUUGAAUAGAUCCAGCACAAUGAGUUUUGAAAGGUUUCCAAGUGAAUGUGGAAUUGAUCCAGUGAAUCUAUUAGAAUUCAGGUCUCUGCGGGAAAUAGCAAUAGAGAGUUUCAGAAAACAGUAAAGGUUGCCAAUAGAGCACAUGUUUAGUCCACAAGGAAACAGUAAAACACUUACAGAAACUCCAGCAGCUGAAGAGACCCUAUCAACUCAGGGAUAGGACCAGAGAAACUACAACCAGCCAACUUUCUAGAAUGGAAGAAAUGAAAAUUCUGUCAGUUAAUUAGAGGAUUGGUUUCAGUUAAUACUAACAUCAUAUUAUUCCCUUACAAGUUUUUUAGCUUCUUCAAAUUCACAAUUGAUGGUGGAAGGGUACCGUUCAACCCCGUGUUGUCCGAUAGAUCCCUAUAACCAGACACUGUUAAUGAGCAAGGAAUCCUUGGAAUGGAAAACAAUCACUAUGUUCAUAUAUCAAGAAAAAGGAUGAAAGAAGUUCUGGGAAUGAGGCCUUUUUCUCAAUAUGUGCCUCAUGCCUUGAGAUCCGGACGCUAGAGCAGCCCAGUCUAGACAUCUGGAAAGCCAAAGAGUAUCGUAGCACUACAUCUUAAUUUGAGGCUAUGACUACUUGUAAGUUGGAUCAUUUAUUAUGUGAAGUGAAAACUCAAUACUUACAGAACCUCCAAUUCUGAUAAGGAGGAGAUGUCUCCAGACAGCUCACCCGUCAAUCCCACAGCUGCCAACGUUCUGCAGUUGAAAAUAGUCAGCUAAUCUCGAAACUUGGAGAGGGAAGAAGGUGCGAGUCUUAAUUAAAAUUUGAAGCUGAACAACUGCCUAUAACUUACAUCGAAGUCACACGUGAAUUGUGACAUGAAAUGCCUUCCCAUUUGCCUCCACAGGGAUCUGCACCCACCCAAUUACGUGGUGUGUUUUCCCAGGCAUCCUUGAGAAUACUCAUUACUGUAACUGCAUCAGGAAUGGGACAGAACAAUAAAAAAUUUCCAUGAUUCAAUCACCAUCAGAGUUUUCUAGUUACAUGGAGUAUGGAGGAUCCAUUAAAGCUAGCAAAGAUCUCUACUAAAUCUAAUCUAGCCUCGAACUUUAAUGAGUGAUUUUUGGCCCAAGUGCAGGCAAUUCAGAAUAUUCAUUCUGCACUUCAUCUGUUAAGUUAAGAAGACCCUUAAGCACUUGAUUCUGAUUAGCAUAAAAAGCUACAUCCUACACGAGACAUGGCUCAUAAACUCUUUGCAGUAAAUGGGGAAUGUUAAUUUAUUGAACUUACAAUCAUCACCAUAGGUCUCUGUAUAAAUCUGAAAGGAAGCAACCAGCAAAAACGUGAGAACUUUGGGACACAUUUCUCAACAAAAUUGCAAAGCUCUUUGUUAUGAAUGUUGCUAACUCCAAAACCCUUUAAUAGCAGAAAUGAUAUCUAGAAGUACACUACAAGAUUUAACAGUUUUACCGACGGAAUUUUUCCGUUGGUGUAAGACAUAUUCUGUCGGUAAUUAAUUUACCGACAAAAUCACCGACGGAAAUGCCCCGCCGGUGAAGCUUUCAUCGGUAAUUUUUUGUCCGUCGGUAAAUCCGUUGGAAAUAAAAAAAUAAAAUUACCCGCGUCAUUUCGUCGGUAUAUCCCUCGGUAAUAAUAUUUUUUUAUUACCAACGGAUUUACCAACGGAAAUUCCAUCGGUAAUUCCGUCGGUAAUUAUUUAAAAACAUUUUUAAAAAAUUCAUUUUAAAAAAUUAUAAAAUAAUUAAAUUAACAUAAAUCAAUACUGUAUAAUAUAUACUCAAAAUGCUUGAAAACAAAAUACGAAAAUCAACUCAAACAAAUUUGCAACAAAUAAAUAAAACGAAAAAAUAAAUUCAACUAAAAAAAUUCAUAUGAAAAAAAUGAAGUUGCAAUUGCUAAAAAUUUAAAAAUCCUAUAAAUAAAUCAACUAAAAAUUAAUCUCAUAUGAAAAAACAAAUCUCACAACAACAUUUAUACAAUUAUUAAGAACAAAAACAAUUUAAAAUAAAAUAAAAAACAAAUAUAGUGAAAAACAAUCAUGAAAAAAGAAGAAAAAUCUUACCUUAAUGUAGUUGCAAGUGAAGCUAAGGAGAGAAAAUUUUUUUCGUAAAGCAUAUUAAUUAAAAAAAACUAAGAGGAUAAAAGAAGAAAGAAGAAGAAGACAUAUAUACCCGAGCAUGGAGGAAAAGAGAAGGAGAUGAGGAGAGAAAAGAAGAGAAAGAAAUAGAUAUUGAUGUUUUUUACAUAUAGUGAAGAAGAAGAAGAAGAAGAAGUAGAAGUAGAAGAAUGAGAAGAAGAAGAAGUAGAAGAAGAAGAAGAAGAAGAAGUAGAAGAAGUAUCUCUUGUGAAAUAACGGGAUUCAGGUUUUUUAUUGGGGCGCGUUAGCGACGGAUUUACCGACGGAUAAUUGAAUAUUAAUAUUUUUUUAAUUAUUCCGUCGGUAAUUCCAUCGGUAAUAUUUAAUUUAAAUUUUCAAUUUCGUAAAAAGUUUUCAGAAACCGCCAACAAUUACCGAUGAUUUUUCAGUCCGUCGGUGAUUUCGUCUGUAAUAUUUAAAUGAAAAUUUUAAAUCAAUUGAAUUUUUUCAGAAAACCGCCAAAUAACACCAACGACUUUUCAAUCCGUUGGUGAUUUUGUCCGUAAAGAACAACAAUUAACAGUGCAAUUGGAAAGUGAACAGUUCUGGAGCUCUCUGGAAAAUACCGACGGAUUUUGUCCGUCGGUGAUUCCCUUUGUAAUUGACAUGAUGAAUAGUGUAAACAAGUUUACCAACGAAUUUACUGACGGAAUUUACCGACGGAAUAAAUUCCGUCGGUAAUUCCGUUGGUAAAUCCUGACACGUCAUCAUUUUUUUUUCUUUGUUUUAAUUUUUUUGUCCCACCGUAAUUCCCUCGGUAUAUACUGAGGGAAUAUUUCCGUCGGUAAAAUCCCUCGGAAAUUUACCGAUGGAAAUAUUCCCUCGGUAUUUCCGUUUGUAUUUAUCGGUUUUCUGGUAGUGGUAUAACUCUUAAUAUGAUAAAACAUGGAAGGAAGAUCUUUACAUAUCCCCAUCGUUUACUUAUCUCAAGAUUUAUCGUGAAAGGACAUGAAUGGGACAAUUAUGUUCGUAUGAAUCACAUACUAAAUACAAAGACAAUUGACCUCCCAUCUCUAGUCAUUUUUGUUGGGACAUUCAAGCAAUCAAACACACAUAAAUUUACGUGGUUUGGCAACUUGCCUAUGUAGGGGAUUCCGGCUCCCCCAUGCGCGGACCGGGGGUAUACUGAUAGUUGCUCAACGGAGGGUAAAGCACACUGACACAAUAUUUAACGUGGUUCGGCAAAACCGCCUACAUCCACGGGAGAGAGUCAUUGUAUUAGAGAUAGAGAAAGGGUUACAAUAAAUACAUGUAGAGGAGGAGGAUUACAUCCACUCUACUCAACUCAUCAACUCUCAUUGCUGCUCUUGCAGCUGUUGCAAUGGCAGCAAGGCUGCUGCCAUUGCAGCUCUCUUUCUCUCCACUCUCUUGCAUACUCACGUUCUCUCUCUCAUUUUUCUCUCAAAUAUAAGCCUCCUUUAUAGGCAUUUCAUGGUCAACAUGGAGGGGCCAGUAAUGCCUUAAAGUGUGCCACUAAUUAUGGCAUGAAUGGAGCUACCACUAACUUGGUGGUGGGGUAUUGCCACUAAAUGGUAAUAUCCUAACAAUCACCCCCUUUGCCAUUUAUGUAGGCAAUUGUCAUCUUGCUUCUUCAGCACAAGCUUGAAUUCUGCAGCUCUUCCAAGCUUCCAUUCUGAGAGCGUCUUCAACACAACAUUCCCCUUCGAGCGUAUCAAUCAUGCUCGGUCCGGAAUGAUUUUUCAAGCCUUACACCAAGGCUUACAACACCCCCUCAAACGAAUAUUUCCAAGUGUGACAGUCAUUGAGUAUUUCAAUGUGAUCACAAGCUCACCACUCUUCCAAGAGUCUACUCAUCCAGGAGUUGCGCCUGCCCUUUGUUCCACCCUAGGAACCACGCCUUACUUCUCUGUGAGUCUCUCGCUCUUAGUCGUAAGAGUCCAGGUAGCUCUCCACCUUUCACCAUGGGGGCAGCCCAUUAAAGGUUGAUCCAUAUUUGUCUUCAUACUCUGAGUAUUACAAUGCCAUUACCGAGCUCACCACCUUGAUAAGAGUCAACUCGUUCUCGGAACCUGCGCAUGCCCUUCUGCUUCUUCAUAGCAGCCGCGUCUUAAUGCUCCACAAGUCACCCACUUAUUGUCCAAGGCAAAUGUCUUCUAGCUCAUUGAUCUUUAGCAUGGGGGCAAUAUCCAUGAAAGUCAAUCCUGCAUUUGUCUUCAUACUCAUCAUAGCCACUUCAUUGGCUAUACACCUGUCCACUCAUAUCUAGCCAUUACAUUGGCUCUGGGGCGUUCUGAACUGGGCUCAUAUCAUGGCCCACACACCUUCUCCUCAGGUGUCUCCGCUCGUCGUCAUGCGGCGGUCUGAAAUAGGGCUCCUAUCGCGGCCCUCACACCUUCUCUAAAGUGUCUUCACCCGUUGUCAUGGGGUGGUCUGAUCUUGGGCUUAUAUCAAGGCCCUCACACCUUCUCUAAGGUGUCUUCGCCCGUUGUCAUGGGGCGGUCGCAUCCUCCUUCAGCUGAGAUGCUUUAAAGUGGCUCCAAAAUUCUCUACCACCAUGUGCACUAUGGGAGAGAUUACUGCCACUGACUACAUAGAAAGAGAAAGUUGCGGUAGACUCCUCGCAAUCCUCCACCUCAAUUUCUAUGUUUGGAGCUUCUGUGCCUUUCUGCUUGACAGCUCCACCUACACCAACUCUCUUUGGUGUCUUCGCCUUUCAUCAUAGGCGGUUGCCUUUUAUCACAGGCGUUUGCACCCCUUCAAUUAGGUGCCUCUGCAACAGCUCUCUUUCCAUCCUUGCAUGCAUUGGAAAGGUCUUCGCCUAUUGUCUUCAUCAAGAGCAUAAGAGACUUCCUGUUGUACAAACUUUAACAGUCUCUGCUCUGAGCUUCAUCUGGGAACACUUCUUCUCCUUGCACCUGUUGUCUCAUUACAGCACCUCAUUGGAUCCUAUGGGUACUCCUGCACAAUCUCCGUGUGCCCUCGUGCAAUUUCUGUUCUCCAGAUUUCUCCCUAUUCCUUGCUUAUGUUUGACAGCAGUUCAUCCUGUCACAACACCUGUCCAAGUCAAAAUAGGGUGCCAAUCUUUAUCCCUUGCCGUAUUUCUCUACCAUUAUCAGGGUCUUCAUCAAUUCUCCCCUCGAGAAAUCACAGUCACCGAAUCUAACUUCUUUGGAGAAAUCACCACUUCAUCAGAUCCUUGAUCAUACGGAACCCAAUUGUUCCCUUGUGCCGUCGUCCUGCUAGUCUUCAACCGUUUCAUUACAAACUGCUAUAUAUACGAAAAUAGUACCGUAUGGAUAAUCCUUCCACUAAGCAAGUUCCCAGGAAAGAUUGGAGGGGUCACACUGGUCCCGCUUAAAACCCAAUCUCCUAGACAGAACUUCUCAGGCCAUAUCUAUCCAUCGUACUGUCUUUCCGUAUAUACAACCAUUUGCUAGCUUUGUUGCGGCUUUCCUUUACAAGUGAUCUGGAAUAUACUGGUUUAAUUCAUGAUUUCUCAACAUCUGGCGAGACUACCAGUUCUUAGAUUCGUCAAGAUUGGUCUUCGUCAAUUUCCACUCUUCACCUCAAAUUAUCCACAUGAUCGGGUGUCUAGAGUGUCCCAAUUUUGCCUUCCCUCAAGGCAGUUAAAUUUCUCCCCACUUAGCAGUUCAGCACAUGUAAUUGGGUAAACAUGUGCACCUUCUUCUUCUUCUCUUCAACGACCACCAUGAUGACCUUCAGAUGCCUCCUGAUCGGGCAAUCUCAUUUGUUAAUUCACCACCGCCAUUUUCGGUCUCAAAUUUCAACGAUCGGACCGUACCAUCUUGAUGUAUGCUAUGGUCUGGCCUACUCCACGGAGCUACUAGUUUGUAUUAAUCACUCAAAGAAACACUACAAACAAAGAGGAGGAGAAAACUCUUCUCUACUCAACUCUACACACUCAAGCUCUCCACUGCUCUCUCUCGUUUCUCUCUGUGUUUUCACUCUUCUCUGCCACCAUUACACAGCUCUUCAAUGAGCAUAUAUAUAUAUAUAUAUACAAAUGGGAGUGAAGGGGCAUAAAUCAAGCCAUGAUUUAUGCCAUCGAUUAUGUCCUCCACCAUGUGUCAAGUGGGAGAUUAGGUAUUCCCACUUGCAUAUGGUGAGACAUUGUUUGUCUCCAUUUUCUAACAAUUUUCAAGUUUAUAGUCAAUAUGAAACUCUAAGACUCCUAAAAAUACAAGUAGAGAAACAAUUUAUGAGUUUCAUUCUAGAUACCGUAGGUGACAAGAUUUAGUUGUGAGAGUGAUAGAAGAACCCACCAAAUGGUCAUGAUUGUCUGCUAAAGUCAUUAUUGAAGCGAUGAUCAAUACAAAAAGUUAUCAAGUGUUAAUGAGAUGUGUAGAUGAUUUUACUAAGUCUACUAAUUAGACAAGUACUAGAAAGAAAUGCAUUUGACAGUUGGAGUUUGGCUCAUUUAAUGAUUCAAUUGCUCAUCUAAAUGGAAAAAAAAAAAAAUUGAUGUAAAGGAAUUUACCACACUGGACCAUGAGCCUGCUAAACUUUAAAACUAAAUGCUUGCAUGAGUCCCGGGCUGAUUUGCUUGACCAAUCAGCACUUUAACCUGAUUUGUGAGAGGAAUAUAUCAAGAUCGACGGAGAACGCGUUGCAAAUAUUCUACAAUACCAGCUGUUCCUUAGAAAACCAGGUCUAGAAGUUAUUAUUUUUCUAGUUAAUAUUAAAUUUUAAUUAUUUGUUUUAUUUAGCUUUGGAUUCUUUGGUUCAGUCAGUUUUAAACAACUACUUGAAUAAUUGUUGUGUUAAUUUUUUUUUGUUAGAUUAUUAUUACAAACUUUCCAAAAAUAUUAGAGCUUUUAUCUAUUUCUCUACAAUUUAAAGUCUGCAACCUUAGGGUUUGAAAAUCUUAAUCUUUAUCUAUGCAAUAUGAUUUGUCAACCUCAACCCUAAUGCAACAAUAAUAUUGGGAAAGAAGUAUUAAAAAUGCCAAUUUGAUUAUUACUUUAUGACUUGCUGCUGCCAUUGUUAUUAACAAGCAGUUGGUUGCUACAGAGACAAAAACUCGUUUAUCUGACAACAGUAGAAAAUGAUUCAUGAAGACAUCAGAAUUUCUUCCAAACGAAUCAUUCCUUGUAAUUGCAAACACAUGGAUGGGUCCCCUCCUCUCUAUGAAUGCUUACAACAAAUCAUUCUCUUAGACUUGACAGCGCCUGACCUAAUCUUGAUCCGUGGGGAAGACGGCACUGCAGUUUCUCAGAUGAUGCCAACAAUAAGGACAGUACACAAGAAAGGUAAACCCAAGAAACCAGAGAUUUAACUGCACUCCUCAUUAACAGUAUCAUAAAAGGCAAAAAGGUCGUGAAGAAAAUGAAAAUAGUGAGCUCAGUAUGCUACAAAGUGCAAACAACACAAGAAAAUGGCAACUCGUACUCUCAGGUAAGAAGUAUCACUGAAACAUUUGCCAAGCCAAGCUCAUACCAAGGAUUCUGAGCUCACUCAUAUAUAGUGGCUCUACCUUUGAAACUGGGAAGUCCCCUCUGUAAUCAAAGGCAUCCCUUGCUUGCAUCGUCAUAGUUGUUUGCUAGUCAUUUAAAUUGACAGAAAUAAAUUUUGGUCAGUCAAGAGAUUAGAGCCAAAGAAAACUCAACAAAAUAUUUGAACUCACUCGUGGAAAGAAUGCUUGCACCAGUCCCGCGCUGAUUUGCUUGACCAAUCAGAAUUUUUACUUGAUUUGUUAGUCAGAGGAAUAUAUCCUAGAUAGAUUGAUGGGAAAGUGUUGGAAAUAUGUUUAUAGAACAAAUUUUAAUUCUGUUUGUAUUCUUAGAUUUUCCAGUAGUAAAAUCAUGCAUUAGCUAAACGAUCCAUGAACCUGUCAGCAUAAAGAAAAAUAUCGAAUACCUUUUGUUUAUAUAUAUAUAUAUAUAUAUAUAUAUAUAUAUAUAUAUAUAUAUCAACUCUUAUGUAGCUAAAUUAAGAAUUCGGAAAGUACUUUUGAAUUCGAUAAAAAAAAAAACUACCCAACCUCUUAAAGAGGAGAGAAGAAGCAGAUUAAUGGGAUAACUUCACACACAUUUUUCAUUUACAUUGUGCAUGUAUAAAUACAAGAUUGAAGAGCUUAUUAAGCCUGAAGUUUUGCUAUUCUGUAACUAACUGCAAGUUGUCCAUAAUUCAAACAUUCAAACUAAACAUAAAGAUUUGAUUCCGGUGGAUGAGGAUUUUGUGGAGGAACUGAUGUUGUUGGAUGAGUGAUUUGUGGAAGAGUGAUGACUUUCCUAAUAUGCCCCCGCAAGAUGGAGGUACCAUCAGUAACUCCAAUCUUGGAUUUUAAGGUUUGAAACCGGUGGCGUGGAAGAGCCUUCAUAAGCAAGUCUGCAAGCUGAUCCAAAGUGUGAACAUGACUGACAGUAAUGCGACCUUUCUGGACAAGAUCACGAACAAAGAGAAGGUCGAUUUCGAUGUGUUUCAUAUGAGUGUGUUGCACUGGAUUUAAGCUGAAAUGAGUUGCACCAAUGUUAUCACAAAAAAAUUAGGGAGGAUUUGGAAGAUGUAAGCUAAGUUCUUUGAUUAAGGAGUGAAGCCAAACUAUUUCAGAGGUGGCAGUAGCUACUGCAUGAAAUUCAGCUUAUGUAGAAGAACGCGAUACAGCUCUUUGUUUGCGUGCAGACCAAGAAAUGGGAUUGGAGCCUGGAAAGGUGAUAAAUGCGGUGAUGGAGACUCUAGUAUCAGUGUUGGCAGCCCAGUCCCCAUCAACAAAGGUUCAUAGGUUUAAGGGGCUGGUCUGUUGAAUAAGAAUCCCAUGAAACAUUGUUUGCUUGAGAUACCUGAGAAUUCGUUUGGCUGCAGUCCAGUGACACGCUGUUGGUUUGUGCAUGAACUGGGAAAGUCGAUUUACUGGAAAUGCAAUGUCAGGUCUAGUCAGACCAAGAUAUUGCAGUGCCCCAAUAACUCUGCGAUAUUCAGUGCUGUCUGUAGGAGUUGAACCAUCCAUUAAAAUCAGUGGUGUGCUGGUUGACAGUGGAGUGUGAAUGUCUUUGGCCAUAUCCAUGGAAGUUUUAGAGAGUAAAUCUCAUAUGUAUUUGUGUUGUGAAAGAAAAAGGCCUUUGGUUGUAGGAAUAACUUCAAUGCCAAGAAAAAAAAUGGAGGUCUCCCAUGUCUUUGACAGAGAAGGUGUGACAAAGUUUGUUGAUGAUAGCAGCUACAAAUAUGGAGACGUUUCCUGUGAUAAUGAUGUCAUCAACAUACACAAGACAAUAGCAGAGAACACUGUUAGAGGCAUAGAUGAAUAAAAACGUGUCCGUAGCUGAGUGAACAAAACCAAAUUGCAGAAAAGCAUCCCGGAGAGCUUUGUACCACUGGCGAGGUGCCUGUUUCAGGCCAUAAAUACUUUUCUUCAGUUUACAAACAUAGUUAGGCUUGGAAGUAUCUCUGAAGCCCGGAGGUUGAUGCAUAAACACUGUUUCUUCAAGAUUGCCAUGAAGAAAAGCAUUAUUUAUGUCAAGCUGCCUAAGGGGCCAACCAUUCAUGACAGCAAUGGAGAGGAUUAAGCGAAUUGUAGCUGGUUUGACAACUGGACUGAAUGUCUGGGAAUAAUCAAUACCUAGUCUUUGAUGGAAGCCUUUGGUGACUAGACGAGCUUUGUAUCUGCUGAUGGUUCCAUCAGGAUUUUGUUUUGUUCGAAAAACAAAUUUGCAGCCUAUAAGAUUUUGACUUGCUGCAGGAGGAACAAGUUCCUAAGUGGCAUGAUUAAGUAAUGCAGUGAUUUCUUCGGACAUGGCAUUGCGCCAAUGUGGAUUUUUAAGUGCUUGACUAACACAUGUUGGCUCAGGGGAUUCAGGUAAUGGAUGUGUUGUGGUGGUGUGAAGCUGUUUUGGAACAAAGAUGUUGUUCAUAGACUGAGUGGUCAUGUUAUGUCGUCUUUGAGAAACAACAGGAGCUAGAAGAUUUACCUGAACUGUGGAGACUGUGGUUGUAGUGUCCGAAUUGGAUGUAGGGAGAGAGAGUUCUUCUUGAUGGACAGUAGAGACUGGUGCAGAGAAAGCUUGGUUGGCUGGGGUGACAAUCUGCAGUAGUGGUGCAGGUAGAGUAGGAGCGACAGGUAAGGAAGACUUAGAGGUGGACUGGUUGAUGAUGUUCUUUAGAGGAUAGGUGUUUUCAUCAAACGUAACAUGCCGUGAGACAUAUAAGCGUUGAGUAGGUAAGUGGAAGCAAAGAUAGGCACUCUGUGUAGUGGAAUAACCAAGAAACACACAAGGAACAAAUUUUGGCUGGAGUUUAUGUGUGGUAAGGUUUCAGCCAGGGAAAACACAAGCAACCAAAUGUUCUAAGUUUGAGAUAAUUGGGAGCUGUUGUGAACAAGGUUUGAAAGGGAGAUUUGUGAUGAAGAAUAGGAGAGGGCAAUUGAUUGAUUAGAUAGGUGGCUGUGGCAAAAGCAUAAGACCAAAAAUAGGAAGGAAGAUUGGCGUGACUGAGAAGUGUGGUACCUAUUUCUACUAUGUGUCUAUGACGACGCUCUGAAACACCAUUUUGUUGAGGAGUGUGUGGGGCUGUGGUGUAAUGGCCUAUGCCGUGGAGAGUAAGAAAAGGUUGUAGAGCAACAAAUUCUCCACCAUUAUCAGAGUAGAGACUUUUGAUAUUAACAUUAAACCGAUUUUGGAUCAUUUUAUGAAAUUGAGGAAAAAUGACUUUAACAUCAGAUUUCUUACGAAGUGGAAAAAACCAGACAUAUUUUGUGAAGUGAUCAAUGAAGAUCACGUAAUAUUUAUGAUCUUGAAUGCUGAUUUAUGGUGAUGGUCCCCAAACAUCGGUAUAUAUUAAAUCAAAAGGAGCAGAGCUAGUGAGGCCAUGUUUAUGAAAAGGCAGGCGAUGAGAUUUAUUGAUAGAACAGGAAUCACAAAAAUGAGAUAUAGAAGAAUUGCUGGAAACUGUAAGAGAGAAUGAGGAGAUCAUUCUGUCUACAACUUUUGAGGAAGGGUGGCCUAGGCGCUGAUGCCAACCAUUUAUAGAUGUGCGUUCAUGAACCAUUGCAAUGGGAGUGGAGGCACAGGGAUGAGGUAGAGGAUAAACACCAUUCUCACACGGUCCUUGAAGAAGAAUCUCUCUCUCUCGUCUGUUGAUCCUUGACAAAAAAACAAGAAGGAUGAAAUUCAAGAAACAUUGUUGUGUUUGGUAAAAUGAUGGACUGAAAUCAAAUUUUGAUUAAUGGUGGGAACACAAAGAGUGUCUUGAACUUGGAAAGUGCGUUUAGGAAAGGGAAGAGUAAGAGAACCUGAGUGAGUGAUUUUCAAACCUGAACCAUCUCCAAUGAGCACUUCAUCUGUGCCUUCAUAUUUAGAGUGUAAGUGCAGAUUGGAUACUUGAGAGGUGAUGUUAUGCGAUGCAGCAGAGUCAAUGAGCCAUCGCUGAUCUGGACUCUGAGAAGCAGUGGUGUAGUUAGCUGUAGCCUUCUUGAUGUGUAACUUAGGACAGUAUUUUGCAACAUGGCCAAGUUGAUCACAGUAUUGGCAUUUGGGAGUGUAUUUCUACUGCCUGAAAUAGCGAGGUUGAGAUUUGGAAUCAUAUUUUUGUGUGGCUGCAUUUAGAGAAGACCAUGGUUUUUUUUGUGAAAAACUAUGAUUCCUGCGCUAAGUAUUAUGUGCUGUAACAACCAGGGGAGGAGAAGCAAUGUCCAGGCAUUUGAGAUACGACUCAUGACCAAUGAGAAGAUCAUGAAGUUCUUCAAAUGAUAAAGCAGAUUCGCGUGUACGAAUAAGGGCUACCAUUUCUCUAUAUUCAAGACCUAAGCCAUUGAGAACAUAGAGAGUAAUAUCAUCAGCAGAGAGAGGGGCAUCAAUGAGAGCAAGCUUAUCGGCAAUGGACUUGAGAGAAUAAAGAAAUUCUGUGAUAGUGCGUGUUCCACGCUGAAUGAGAGUGAGAUCCUUUUUGAGUUGCAUGACUCGUGUUCUAGAACGACUGGCAUAAAGCUUGGUCAGUUUGUUCCAGGCUUGAGAGGAUGUUUUGGAAGCUGCUAUGAAAGGUAUCACAGAAUCAGACACCGAAGUAAGAAUAGCAUUCAAAAUUAAUUUGUCCUGUCGAAACCAGUGAGUAGAGGCAGCAGUAGGUGUUGCAUCAAAAUUUAUGGACAGGGGACAUGUGAGUGUACCAUCAAUAUAACCAUAUAGGUUGUAGUCGAGAAGGAGGGAUUCAAACUGUGCAUGCCAAGAGGGAUAAUUGGUUGGUGUGAGUCGGGUGGUGAUCUGCUGGGUGGCAUUAAUAACAACAGGGGGAGAGGCUGAGGAGGCCAUUGCAGAAGCAAAGAAGAGAAAGAAAAAAAAAUCAAAGGAGAACUCGUUGGAGAAAAGAGAGCUCUGAUACCAUAAAGAGGAGAUAAGAAGCAGAUUAAUGGGAUAACUUCACACACAUUUUUCAUUUACAUUGUGCAUGUAUAAAUACAAGAUUGAAGAGCUUAUUAAGCCUGAUGUUUUGCUAUUCUGUAACUAACUGCAAGCUGUCCAUAAUUCAAACAUUCAAAUUAAACAUAAAGAUUUGAUUCCGGUGGAUGAGGAUUUUGUGGAGGAACUGAUGUUGUUGGAUGAGUGAUUUGUGGAAGAGUGAUGACUUUCGUAAUACCUCUAGCAUGAAGUCAAGGCUUCUUUUGGAUUCGCUUCGUUGUUUGAGUAAGCCUCGAACCAAUGAGAAACAAGUGUUAUUCCUAUAUCUGUCCACCUUGAUAUGACUAAUACAAUUUUUAUUGGAUUUAUAUUUUUUUUCCUUCUAUUUUAUAUUUUUUUUCCUUUUUUUUCUCUAAAAACAUUGUUUUUUUUGUUAGCAAUUCUAUGUGUUUGUAAAAGGUUCAUUGGUUUCUUUUAUUCCUAGCUUAUCAUCUUAUUAUAUAGUUCUCAAUCUUUCCUCAGCUUUUCUCUUCACCUAUUAUUCAUGUAAUCUCGGAUUAGACUUUUCCCAAUUUUUUUAAUAGCUAGAUUUUAUACAUAAAUGACUAGCCAUCGUCAACACUUGCGCUCAUCGCAUCACCAUACAGCUCAGCACACCAAGAAAACGAAUCUUAUAUUUGCUCGGUUAGUGUCCGUUUUUUUACGCAGCUGCGGCUGCGUUUUAAAAUGAACCGCAGAUUUAAGCUGUUUGGUAAAAAAAACAGGAUUUACUGUUCAUGGCCCUCAUUAUUUACUGCGUUUGCAACGCAGGGGGAGAAGAAGCAGCUCCAAACUGCUUUUUUUGCAAAUUGUGUUAUAGCACAGUAACCAGAGGCACGCAACUUUCUUCUUCCAGUAACCAGAGGCGCACAACUUCUUCUUCUUCUGCACUUCCAUGUCUCCACUGUUCACGUGAAUAGUGGAGACAUGGAAGUGCAAAAGAAUAAGAAGAAGGAGAAUGAGGGGUUGGGGAAAACAGGGAAAGAGUAGAUAGCUUUGUCAUCCAACUCCAGCACCAAGCAGACACUGAGAGGAGAAGGAGCAGAAUAGAGGAAUAGCUAGAAAAGUGCUCAACUUUCAUCUUCAUUCCCUCCUGCUUUGCUUUUAUCAACAUUACACUGUUCAAGUGAAUUUUAAUCCACUUGAACAGUGUAGCAACACGUGUGAAUUUAGUACACGCGUGUUACUUUGCCCAGCCGGGUCAUUGGCUUGGGCCAGUGACCGGGCUGGGCUGGCUGGGUUUAGCCCAGCCCAUAUGGGUCGGACUAGGUCCGAUCCAAACCUAAAUGCAUUGACCCGAGUCCGUCCCAAACCUAAAUGCAUUGAAUCGGGUGUGACCCAGUAAAAUAAAAAGAAAUCCAGAAAAAUUUCACAGAUAUUGUGUUUUAUUUGAAAAACUAAUGUUUAACAUGAUUCAAUGGCACUAUAUAAUUACAUUUGAAGAAGAUCGUAUGAUGACAUAGCAUUUGCAGAAUUUGAUCGCAAUCCUAAUUUUGUUCUUGAUGAUAUUUUACCUCAUGUUGAUGCACGCUUAGGAAACUAUGGAAAUUGUAGUUCUUAUUGGAUAGAUUUCAUACGUGAUGAAAUUGCACAUAGUUUAAUGCAACAAUAAAAUAUAAUUUAUAUAAAGUAUUGUUUAUUUUAUGAUGUAAUAGCAGUAGUUAAAUCGAUAAUAUUUCAAUGAAAAACCACCAAUAUUAAUAUAUGUCUUUUUUAAUUAUUUUGUAACCUCAGUUUGAAAAGCAUUAUUUAACUAAACAUAUUAAACUACUUUUUGUUCAACCUCAAUUUCAACUACAGUUUUAACCAAACAUAAAUUUUUCCAAACCAACCUCAACUAAAAGUACUUUUUAUAAAACAACUUUUUUCAAACCACAACCAUAACAGCUACCACAAUACCAAACACAGUCAGCCACAAAUGUGACCUUGGUUCAUGCAGCUCUGAUCAACUCUCGCAUUCAUAUCAAGGAGCAAGCUCAUGUUCUCAACCUUCAUUAUCUUUUCAUGAUCAUCAACAUGAUGAAUCCGUGGUCAAGGAUCUUAUCAGUAUGCUUGAUUCAACUAACUGCUUAGUUGGGUUAAUUAUUUCAUUAGGCUUCACAAAGAUUCAUAAAGCGUAACAAUCCUAGAUAUAUACAAGCUUCGAUUUUUUGGUCAAAGAAGCCAUGACUCAAUACAAUAUAAUUAUCCAUCAUUGAAUGAUAUCAGUGGUUUGAUUAUUGGAGAUAUUGGUUAUUAUCAUUCAGAACGAGAUAUCAUCAUCGAAAUCUUGGCUGGGUGUUUGCAAAGGAUCUCAAAAUUACAUCAAAAAAAUAUGUCCUUACAAUAUUCUUUUUUUUUUUCCCUUCGGUGAAGAUGGUAAUCAGACUAACAUUAGCUUUGCCAACCAAGAUGACUAAGUUUCUCGAAAACGCUAAAAAAUUCCAAUAAGAGCUUUAUAUGUUUAUCUUAUUCAUGAAAGAGAUUAUGGUAAAGACACUAUUAUAAAAGACGAUCGUCAUCUUUACCAUUAGUUUUUAGUCGAUACAUUUACAAAUGUCGAAGAAGACAGGCUUGAUUGCAUUAGAGCAAACCAGAAUGAUCUUCGAACUGAGCUCUAUCAAGACACUAAUAAAGUUGUUCUUAGAGAGGAUGUUCAAGGGUUGACAACUGGAAAAAAUAUUGCCCUUUCUUCUUUAACUGGCAGUCCACCAUAUAUGACUAACAACUACCAAGAUGUCAUGGCUAUUUGUAGAACAUAUAGAAAUCCAGAUCUAUUCAUUACAUUUACAUGCAACACAAACUGGCUUGGAAUCAGAAGAGAGCUUAGAGAAGUGAGUUUAUAAGCAUGAAGACAAGCCUGAUAUAAUAUCGCACGUGUUUUAAGAACAAAUGAAGAAAUUAUGAGUGAAAGAUUUUCACCGUUCUUAUUAAUUACAAGCAAAGUUACACACACACACACACACACACACACACAAAUAUAUAUAUAUAGAGAGAGAAAUUUUUAGCCAGCUAUUCUUACAAUCCUUAUAGGAUAGAUAUCCUAUCAGCAGUAGGAUAUACAUGUCAGGUCUUUGACUUAUGAUUAUACACGGAAUUAUCCUUAACUGCUAACUGCCCCCAUAAUUUCAGGAACUGAAGAGAGUGUACAAGCACAGGACAUAAGAUAUUUGCAAUAAUCCCCCUCAAGUUAGAUCCAGAGGAUUAAUGGAUCCAAGCUUGCUCAAUAGUUGGUGAAAUUGAGUAGACAACAUAACUUUGGUAAACACAUCUGCCAAUUGAUCAUUUGUACAUAUAUAAUAAAUAGCAAUAAGUUUUGACUGAACUUGUUGUUGAAUGUAGUGAUAGUCAACUUGAAUGUGCUUCGUGCGUUCAUGAAAAACAGGAUCAAAUGCAAUGUGCAUGGCUUAUUGAUUAUCACAACAAAGUGUCAUGAGAAUAUUGCACGGACAGCUUAGAUCGGUUAGAAGGCAUUUAAGCCAUACAAGCUCACAUGCAGCUGAUGCCAUAGAGCAAUAUUCAGCCUCGGUGCUAGAACGAGCCACCACACGUUGUUUUUUACUUUUCCACGAAACUAGGUUACCACUAACAAACAUACAAUAACCAGUAGUUGAUCUACAAUCAAUUGCAUUUCCAGCCCAAUCAGAAUCAGAGUAUCCCAUAAUGUUUGUAUGUCCGUUAUUAUUCAUAAUGAUGUCACGACCAAUAGAUCCUUUCAAAUAUCAAAGAAUGUGUUUCAAACCAGCAUCUUAAAGCAAGUCUACAAUAUAUUUUUGUUGAUUUAGAAAUAACCCUUCGCUAGAAGUUGUCAUUUCAAUUCCAAGGAAAUACUUCAAAUGCCCAGAUUGGAAAUUAGAGCUGGAGAUUCUUUUUCAACAAAGCAAUAGAAUCACUAUUAUUACUCGUGAUGAUGAGAUCAUCCACAUAUAGAAGCACCAUGAAAUUAUCAUUUGUAUUGAGUCGAACAUAGAGUGAAGAAUCAGUCAAACUCCUUGUAAAACCGAGAGCUUCAAGAGCAGUACUUAGUUUGGCAUCCCAAGCAUGAGGACUUUGUUUCAACCUAUAAAUAGAUUUAUGUAGUUGACAAACCAUUUUGGAAUCUCCAACUUGAGGAUGUCCUGGUGGAAGCUUCAUAAAAACUUCUUCUUCAAGAUCUCCAUGCAGGAAUGCAUUUUUAACAUCCAUUUGCAACAUUGCCCACCCAUUAUUGAUAGCUACAGAUAAAAAAAACUCUGACAGUGGUCAUUUUGGCAACUGGGGCGAAUGUCUCUUUGUAAUCAAUGCUGCAUUUCUAAGUAAAUCCUUGAGUAACAAGACGAGCAUUGUGUCGAUCAAUCGAGCCAUCAGAAUUGAAUUUUGUUUUGAAUAUCCAGUGACUCUCAACUGCAUGUUUUCCAUGAGGAAGAGGAACUAUACUCCAAGUUUUAUUUUCCUCGAGAGUUGUGAGUUCUUCUACCAUAGCCUUUUGCCAGAUACCUUGAGAUUGAGCUUCUUGAAAGUUUUUGGGUUCAUGAACACUGGAGAUCAUUGUAAGGAAAGCUGCGUGCAACGGUGAUAAUCUUUGAUAAGUCAGGAAUGUAUUAAUUGGGUACCUGACUGUAUAGGCAACAUAAUCUUGCAAUUUAGCAGAAGGGUGAUGAGUCCGUUAUAGAUUACAUCACAGAGGUUCUGCUCUGUCUUGAACAUUGGAUAAUUGAUGUUCAAUGGAGUUGAUAAUACUUGCUGGAAGAACAUUACCAGAUGACUCCACGUUGUUAUCAGAGACAGUUACAGGAGAUGAUGAAUUUGUAGUGUGAUUCGUAGCUGGUUUGAGCAAAUCAGUAGAAUUCUCAAUGUGAGGAUCAACACUAAGUAGGGGGGAAAAUCCGGGAGUAUAUCUUCUUGACUAGUGCCUUCAAAAUAAGGACUAGUUUCAACAAAUCGAACAUCUCUAGAGAUAUAUAGCUUCUUGGAUUUAGGCUCAUAACACUUGUACCCCUUAUUAGUUUGCAAAUAACCUAGGAAUAUGCAUUUAACAGCUCUAGGAUCAAGUUUAUCACGUUGAGUAGCUGGUAAGUGUACGUAACAAGUGCAACCGAACACAUUAAGGUAUGACACAUCUUGUUUUUUGUCCUGCAAAACUUCAAGAGGACAUUUGAAAUCCAACACUCGAUUGGGUAAAUGAUUUUUAAGAUGAGUGGCAGUACAAUUCUCGUAUCCAUAUUGUUUUGUAAUAGGGACAUCACAUAAUCAAGGUGCGUAGGAAAUCUUGUUCCAGGAGUUCACAUAUUUUGAAAGGUGCUUUGUAAUAGUAUGUCUUAGAUAUUAUGUUGAACAUUUCCAUUCGACAUCUUUGUAAGGACUUGUAAUGAAAAUUGUAAUGGAACACAGAUUUGGAUGUGAGAACAUGUAGAUACGAUGUUAUAAAUAUAUUAUGUGGUAUUCUCUUUUAUGAGGAUGUUGUGUUGUGAAAUCACAUUAGGAUCGUAUGAAAGAAAGAACUGGUUGUGUAAAAUUGAUAUUCGGCACUCAGGUAUAAACUCCUGUUGAUAACGAAACUAGGACAAGAAUGGAAACUCAUGAGUAUGUCAAUAUGAAGUAAUGUAAGUGUAUGAAUAUGAAAAUAUAAUAUUGCGCGCAUGUGUAUUGAUCUUUCGUCUUAUGAGAAUGUUGAUUUACAAAAACUAUGUCCAUAUGAUGCCUGAUAAGGAAGGGAACCUAAUUACUAAUUCAUGGCGUGUCAGAGAAUUAUCGAGAACUAAAAAAAUUUCCACCGGUUUUGGCUUUGAAAAAGCCGGGUCAUUACAAAACAACUCAGGGUAGACAGAAGAGUUAUGUCGGGUCAUAAUAGCUUGAAGUCUACAUCUACUUUGAUUUUCCACAUUCUUCUUGAAUUUCCAAAAACUCCUAGCAAGACUUGUAUUUCAUAAAGAAAAUCCAACAUAUGUUUGGCUUAGAGGGCCAACCACAUUAGUAUGGAUUAAUUGGAGUUUCUAUGUUGAUCUCCAAAUUGAUUUUGGAAAUGGUUUCCUGUUUUGCUUACCAAACUGACAGGCUGUACAAUUUAGUAACAGAUCAGUAAAUAGAGGCACACCUUUUAUAGCAUCAUUCUUCUUCAUACUGAGCAUUCAUUGAUGAUGACAAUAUCCUAGCCUCUUAUGCCAUACUUCUAUGUCAUUUAGCUUUGUUGAAAAAGUUAUGUGUGUUGUUCAGAGGAAGAAUAUAUAUUAAUCUUAUUUCAAUACAAAUUAAAGAGCAGAGGAGGCUCUUAUAUAUAUAGCCUAUAUAGAGACUAAUUAGGAAAAGAUUCAUUGCACUAUUCUAGGCAGUAAUCGUGGUAAGGCUAAUUAGGAAACUAAAAUAUUCUAUGAUUCCUAUUCUGUGAUUUCUAUAAUUAUUCUUCACGUCAACACUCCCCCUCAAGUUGGUGCAUAGAUAUCAGUAAUGCCCAACUUGUCUAGUGAGUUGUGGAAGAUUUUGCCCGAGACAACCUUUGUAAGUAUAUCUGCUAGUUGAUCUUCUGAUUUUACAAAUGGAAAUUGAAUUAUGUUGUCUUCAAGCUUUUGUUUAAUGAAAUGUCGAUCUACCUCAACAUGUUUGGUAUGAUCAUGUUGAAUUGGGUUGUGCGCAAUUGUUAUGGCUGCUUUAUUGUCACAAAACAUGUUCAUUGUAUCUUGAGAUGAACAUCCGAUUUCUUCCAUUCAUCUUUUUAACCAAAGUAGCUCACACAGUCUUUUGGUCAUACCUCUGAAUUUAGCUUGUGCACUUGAUAAAGCAACUACCUUUUGUUUCUUGCUUCUUCAAGUGACUAGAUUUCCGGCCACAAAUGUGAAAUAGCCAGAUGUGUAGAUGUUGAUUUUUCCUAAACAUCAGUCCUUUCCUGGAGAAGACUUCAAGUAUCGCAAAAUGCGAAUCACAACACUCAUAUGAUAUUCGCUAGGGUAAUGCAUAAACUGACUUACCAAACUCACGACAUAUGCAAUAUCUGGUCGUGUAUGAGAUAAGUAUAUUAGUUUUCCCACAAGGCGUUGAUAUCUCUCUUUAUUGGUGGGAGCCUGAUCAGGAAAUUCUCCCAAACCAUGGUUUUGAACUACUGGUGUAUCGGCCGGUUUGCAAUCAAGCAUUCCUGUUUCAGACAGCAAGUCAAACACAUAUUUCCUUUGGGAUAGAAAUAUGCCUUGUUUCGAUCGAGCUACUUCAAUCCCAAAAAAAAAAAGAAGUUCUUCAUCUUAAAUUCUGUUGCUAACUACUCCUGUAAUUUAGAGAUUUCUUCUCCGUGGUUUCCUGUAAUUAUCAUGUCAUCAACAUAGAUUAUUAGAGCUGUUACCUUUCCUUGUUGGUACUUCAAGAAGAGAGUGUGGUCUAAAUUACUUCGCUUGUAACCAUAUCUCCACAUGGCAAAGCUAAAUUGUCCAAACCAUGCUCUCGGGGAUUAUUUUAAGCCUUAUAACACCUUUUGUAGCUUGCAAACCACCUUUCCUUGUAUCGGAGAAGCAAGUCCAGGUGGAAUAUCCAUGUACACCUCCUCCUCAAGAUCUCUAUGGAGGAAAGCAUUUUUUACAUCAAAUUGGUGCAGUGGCCAGUCUAAGUUUGCAGCAAGAGAGAUCAGUACUCUCACAGUAUUUAAUUUUGCUACAAGUGAGAAGGUUUCUUGAUAAUCUAUCCCAUAUGUCUGAGUAUAUCCCUUAGCAACUAGCCUUACUCUAUAUCCUUCUACGGACCCAUUUGCUUUGUGUUUAACCAAGAACACUCAUCUAUAUCCCACAUUUUUCUUUCCUUCGGGCAGUGGUACGAGCUUCCAAGUAUUAUUUUUCUGCAGUGCUUCCAUCUCUUCCUCUAUCGCUUGGAUCUAUUUAGGAUUAUUCAUAGCUUCAUUCACUGUAUUGGGGGCAUCUUCUGUAGACAAUUUAUGUGUCAAUGCCUUGAGGGGUUCAAAUAACUUUUGAGUUGAGACAUGGUUGGCAAUUGGGUACUUGGAUUUGCUCGUCCCAUAAUCAGGUGAAUAUCGUUUUGGAGGUUGUCCAUGAUUAUGCCUGAAAGGCAGAUUAUAGCCAGUAGAAAUAUUUUGAGAGGAGUUUAGAACUUGUACCUCACGAAUAUUCUCAGGAGAUUGAACUGAUUGUGGUAUUGUCACGGUAUGGAAGGGCUGUUUAUUGGAGACUUCUCCAGUUUCUUCCAUUUGCUCACCAGUUUCUGCACUCUUCAUUUCUCCUUGAUCCUUUAGUAUUUUGGUCUCUGUUUCAACAUGCUCACCAUUUUAUAUUUCUUAUUGAUCCCUCAGUAAUUCGGUCUGUGUGUCAACAUCAACAUACUCUGUAUGUGGCUGGAUAAUGUUAUCUGAGAUCUUUCUUAUUAUCUCAUUAUCUCCCCCUGCAUUCUUCACUAUACAGUUGUUAAAGCCUGACCAAUAUUCCCAAUUCUGCUCAGCACUCAUGAGCUCCUCCUGACCAGAAGGGAUGGAAGAUGGGGAAGUGAAGAAAUGCUCAUAUUCAAGGAAGGUAACAUCCAUGGAGGUAUAAAGUCAUCUUGUAGCUGGAUCAUAGCAUCGGUAUCCUUUCUUGUGAGCUGUAUAUCCAAGAAAAACACAGCGGACAUCACAGGGGCCGAGUUUGGUUCGUUGAUUUUUAUGUAUAUGAACAUACACGACAUAACCAAACGUUCUGGGAGGAGGCAUUAGAACUGACGGUAAGAUCACAUUUUGGCCUAGAACUUGAAGUGGGGUCUUGUAAUCCAGAACUCUUGAUGGCAGUCUGUUUAGCAAGUAUACGACGGUCACCACUGCAUCAGUCUAGAACCGUUUGGGCACAUUAGCAGCUGUCAUGAGAGCUCUCAUGAUUUCCAAGAUAUGUCGAUUUUUAUGUUCUGCAACACCAUUCUACUGUGGUGUUUGUGGACAAGAUGUCUCAUAAUGCAGACCAUGUUCCUGAAAGUAUCGGUGGAAUUGUUUAUUAUCAUAUUCCCCACCAUUAUCGGAUCUCAGAAUCUGUAGUUUUGCAGAAAAUUAUGUUUGAAUCAUAUUAUGGAAGGAGCGAAAUAUGUUAAACACCUCAUGUUUAUUUUUCAUCACAUAUAGCCAAGUCAUUCAUGUACAAUCGUCAACAAAUAUGACAAACCAGCGAGCUCCGGAAGAGAUAGUAAUUGGGGCAGGGCCCCAAAUGUUAGUAUGAACAAUCGCAAAUGGAUUGGCUCUGAUUUAAACGUAUUGGGUACGAUACACGAUGACUCUUAGCUUUAAUACAAGUUUCACACUGAAAAUCUUCUUCGCGAAAUUUCGUGAAUAGUUCUGGAAAUAAAUAACGUAAAUACCAAAAUGAGGGAUGUCCCAACCGAUUAUGCCAUAACCAAAUCUGCCGGUCUUUAUUGUCAACGAGGUGUAUGUUAUUGGUUCUACCACAGCUGAAGUCGUCCAUGUAAUACAUCCCUUCCUUCUUAGUACCACGACCAAUAAUCUCCUUGGUGAGAAUAUCCUGAAACAAGCAAAAACUAGGAUACAUUACUGCACAACAUUGUAAUUCCUCAGUGACUUAUCCUACAGACAACAACUUGUUGGACAGUGACGUGACUAGCAGGGUAUGUGGUAAUGAGAAAGAAGAAGAAAGUGCAACAGUUCCCGCCCCUAUUACUGGAUAUGUUACUCCAUUAGCAUUAGCAAUGCAUAGCCGUUUUGGUUGAGUGGUGUCAGAGAAAUCACAGGGAUCAUACGUCAUGUGGUUUGUUGCCCUAGAGUCAAUGAUCCAGCCAUCAUGAUUAGGAUUUGUCUGAGAGCAAAAAGCAUAACCUUGAUUACCUGGGUCAUUCUGAUCAGUCUGUUCUCCAGCCGAGGUAGGAGAUUCUUAUGUGGUACAAGUGAUAAUGGAGGUUCCAUGCUCAUAAGGGUUGCACGACCAGUAUGUUCACUGCUCUGAUACCAUGUCAAAGAACCAUUUCAACCCAAUAGCUUAAGUUGUUAGGUAAGGUUCCAAAAUAUGAUUUAUAUUAUUCUCUAACAACAACUUAUACUAAAUUCCGUUAUCCUUUGCUCUCUACUGCGUAAAGUUUUGGAUGAUAAUAAUAAUAUUCACAACUUAAAAGAUUGGAUACAGGAAGCAGAAAAUGCUCAUCAGUUUACUCUCCUUCGAUUAAAGUGAGAGGUCGAAUCAAGAAAAAUAGAUCAAUAAGUUCAACUGGCAUAAGUUUAAUUUCUAACAUAAUUAAUAUAAGAGCACACAGGAUUUCUUUCACCCAAAAUACAAAGGUUUUGCUAAAUAUAUAUUCACAAGUAGUUGACUCUUAAAAAUCUGAUGCACCACACGCGGCAAACAUUGCAAGAAAAUAUUGUAACACCCAGUACUGAAGCAACUUCUCAGCUUUCCCAGCUAAACAAUGCUCAUCAUGGUUCUAGACUCAAGAUAAUGAAAGCUCUUCUUCCUUCAAGGAUGGUGGAAACUCGUCCUGGCUUGCUUCCUCAAAACUAGCUGAAGUGGAUUCUGAUUCAGUAUUGGGGUUUAAACCAGCAAGAUGCAAGAUAUUCUCAAUCUCUUUCACCACUUCACCCAUUGUUGGCCUGUCACUUCCUUUCUCUUGUACACAUUUCAUUGCCAGAUCCACUAUCUUAUCUAGACCUUUCGGCUUCGUGUCUAAACCAAUGCUUGGGUCAAGAAGUUCAUGAAGGCUAUAUAGAUCUUUUUUUCUAUCCAAUGAGCUACUUACCUCCGCUACAAGGUAUUUCCCUCGCUCUAAAGGCUUUCUUCCACUUACUAGUUCCAGCAACACAACUCCAAAGCCAUAGACAUCACUCUUCUCAGUCAAGAGCAGGGUCUUCUGAUAUUCUGGAUCUAUAUAACCCUAAGCAGAAAAUAUAGUAAUCUUGUCAAUUGUAACCCUUGAUAUAUAAUGGCUUUAAUCAUAGACCAGCCGGCGACCUGCAUUUAAUGAAACUAGAUAGUCUUAAAUUCUUGAAGUUUUGGAGGUACUGACCAUUGUCCCUUUAACUUGAGUGGUAGCAAGAAUAAGCUCACUAUUGUCCAUAGGCUUGGAAAGACCAAAGUCAGCAACUUUAGCAUUUAAGGAUUCAUCCAGUAAUAUGUUAGCUGAUUUUACGUCCCUGUGGAUAAUACGAGGGUUGACAAGCUCGUGCAAGUAGGCAAGACCUCUUGCUGCACCAAGAGCCACUUUAAGUCUCCUCCUCCAAUCCAGCCAGAUCCCGCUCAAACCUGCUUACAUGACAAGAGGAUAUAUAAUUGUGUAGACUUCCUACAACUAUAGAAUGCGUGUGCUUAUUUUCGGAAGAAAGGCACCAAAGGGUUGUCAUGGAAAACUCAAUGCUUGUAAGAUUGAAAGGUUCCAUGUACAAUACCUGAUAGGCUGUCCCUGAGACUACCAUUGCGAACAAACUCAUAAAUUAGCAUCUGUUCACCUCUCUCAAAGCAAAACCCAACAAGGUUUACAACAUUUUUAUGAUGAACUCUCGAUAAAACUUCUAUCUCUGAGUUGAAUUCAAGCCCACCUUGCACCGAUCCUUGUCGACAUCGUUUGAUGGCAAUCAGUUGUCCAGUAGGAAGCAUCCCUCUAUAAACCUGUACACAAAAAUGUUGAAAGACUCAAGUAUUGUGUCGCUGAAAAAACCACCAUGGCAGGACAGGAAAAGAGGGAGAGACUUGCCAUUCCGUAACCCCCUGAUCCAAUAUGAUUGGCUUCCGAGAAAUUAUUCGUACACUUCAUAAUCUCAUUGAAAGAGAAGCAUCUGGCUCCCUUCAACUGAGGAACGCUGUUACUGUUCCUUGAAUCCAAGUAUGCUGCAAUUUGGCAAAAUGAAGAAAAAGAAAUAAACACAAUUUUCAAUGAUGAAUGGGAAAAUAUCAGAUCUAAAAACUAGAACCUUAAAGUACCAAAAUGAUUCUUCUGUUCACUUGCUCUUUCUCUCCUCUUCUUCUGACGAUAAGCACAUACCCCUGCAAGAAGCAAUAGUAGCAGGAAAGAGGCUCCUCCAGCCGCAGCCCCAAUGAUCCUUCCAGUGCUUGAUAACUCUUUUGAGACCGUGGGUUUUCCUGCAUGACAAAGAGGGAGGGAGGGAGGAGGAUGUGUCAUCAGAAGAAAGAAAGAACAAUGCAAGCCAAUCUCUCACUUGUGCAUGAAAUGUGUAAGUACCAUCGAAGUAUGGAUAUGCAGAACCCUUAAAAUAUGUAGGUCCAAAGAUAUCUGAAUUCUCAUAAGUCUGAAGGGUUAGCACAAAUCCAAUUUCAGAAAUCGUAGCUGUGUUAAAAUGAUUUUGGCCCGACGGAAACAUAGAUAAAUUUGACUCAAGAUACCCAAACGAAUCCUUCGCUGGAAAAUUUACUUCAACUGAAUCCACAGGAAGUUGAUGGAACUUGAAGGAACGCAUCAGAGACUCUUCUUCCAGAUGUACAUAAUAAGUUAAGUUUCUUGACUCUAAAAAUGGAGGUUUGUAGACUAGUACUCCCCUGUAUGGAUACGAGCAUUUGCAAUUGGGACUGGAAAUCUGGUCUGAAAUGCAGUGGAGGGGAACACAUUUCUCUGGUAGCCUCGUAUACGAAGAAUUGGCUUGAGGAACUGUGCAGUAAUUUUCUGUUGCUUCUGGAUGCUCACAAACUGGGUUACCCACAAGUCUGCAAAAUAUAACACAUCAAACACUCUUAUGCAGGCAAGUUGUAUAGCACAUCUCCUCAGGAUUUAACUUUUCCCACUACUAUCGUUGUCACAUUUUAGCAGUCAAGUGGACAAAAUUAAGGAAAAAAGAAUUACAGAGACAUCUCAAAAGUUUGAAGAUAUUAUAAAAACUUUUGUACGAAAAAUGCCGUUAACGUUUGAUAUAUAUUGAAGGGAUGAUUAUCUGUAAUAUCCGAGAGGGACUAUUGUAAUUCAUCCAAAAAAAGGAGGAGGAGAAUGCCUCUUACAUUACAUCCACGUUAUUCCUUCGUUCUGGUGUUUCUGAAUAGAAUGAAGAAAUGAGAUUGUUUCGCAUAUCAAUGACUUUCAGUUGGCUGCUAGAGCUUGUUGCAAUAUCCAAUGUGCCACUGAGCUGGUUGUUCCUUAGAAUCCUGUAACCAUUUGUGAAUUUAGAUAUCCAUCAGUUUCCAUGAGAUGAAAGAAUCUAUCAAUAUCCAUGAAGUUGACUGCUGUGGUACUGAAGAAACAAGGGGAAGGAUGCUCACAAAGUCUGUAAACUAGGAAGAUAGAAGAGGGUAGGAGGAAUCCGACCUUCAAGUCCAGUGUUUUCCAUCAUUCUGUUAUUCACAGGAAGGAAAGAAGGCUUCACUAUGUUGACAGCGUGAAAAAUCAUAAAUUGUGAACUUUUAUACACAGGAAUGCAUAGUCAAUAAGAGGUUCCAUGGACAAAAAUGUCUCAGUCAAAAAAACAGUUACUGCUUCAUUAACACUUACAAUAUACAUGGAGACAAUUAUAAUCUAGCAUGUAAAGUCAUGAUGCCUGAGCAAAAUUUUAAGGGUAAAUUGCAAAGUGGGAUGGUGGAAAGGGUUUGUGAUUCUUGAAAGAAAACAGUCUAGUUAAGGCUUCAUUGAGUUGGUCGAGUGUGUGUGAUGACAGAGAGAAAAGGAGGGAGGAAGGGAGACAUACAGUGUUGUCAAAGCCCGUAAGUUUGAGAAUGACAACGGAAAAUCUGAAGCGUCAAAACUAUUAUUGCUCAGGUCCCUGGAGAAAAGAUUUUGGUCAUAGUUGGCAUUUGGAGAAACGUCGAAUUGUAUUUCAUACUGAGAUACCUAACAGACUGGAAAUCUUACAAGUAGCUGAGAUAAGCCAUGCCAGUGAGAUUAGGAACAGGCCCAGUAAAUUUAUUGUUGGACAACAUCCUGAAAUUUAUCAGCAAAAAGCACUCUUAACCGAGUGAAAAUCCGCACAAAAGACUUAACAAACAAGCCAAACCAUUGUGAUAUCUUUACUGGCAAUGUCGUUUUCUGUAUACUUACAACGUCGUCACAUUGGUAAGAUUGUUGAGGUUUGAAGGGACAGGUCCAGUUAACGAAUUCCCUUCAAAACGUCUGCAACAAAGAUAAGGCAUUCAAUACAAACAAGAUCAGUGUAGAUUAAUCACUUCAGUUUGCCAUGUAGAUGCUUACACAGCCUCCAAAGUGUGCACCAGUCCAAGGGUAGAAGGAAUGCUUCCCGUGAGAUUAUUGUCAUGCAAAAGCCUGCACAAAAGUAAUGUAUAUGAUGUAUAUAGAAUUGUAAACCUUUUAAAGAAGCAUAUUAAAUUAAAAGGAAUAUUGUUUUCUUUUAAAUUAAAUUAAAAUCCCACUUCCUAUUUUCUCCCCUAUUCCAUUGGUGAAGUAGUUUGACUUCAACAUCCAAAGCAUAUACAAACUUACACAUGAAUGAGAGUCAUGUCUGAUCUGAAAAGCUCUUUCGGGAUUGUGCCUGAGAACCGAUUCCUUCCUAGAUGACUGAAUAAUUUUCAGACCAGCAUAAACAGAUAUCAUUAAAGCCGAAGCAAGAGAGCACACUAAUCAGCACAAAGAGAUUUGACAUACAAGUGUUUUGCAUUAACUAGCAUAUCAAGACCAGAUGUAGUUCCACUGGAGACAAGGAUGGCUCCAUCAAGCAGAUUAUUGAAUAGAUCCAGCACAAUGAGUUUCGAAAGGUUUCCAAUUGAAUGUGGAAUUGAUCCAGUGAAUCUAUUAGAAUUCAGGUCUCUGCGGGAAAUAGCAAUAGAGAUUAGAGAGUUUCAGAAAACAGUAAAGGUUGCCAAUAGAGCACAUGUUUAGUCCUCAAGAAAACAGUAAAACACUUACAGAGACUCCAGCAGCUGAAGAGACCCUAUCAACUCAGGGAUAGGGCCAUAGAAACUACAACCAGCCAACUUUCUAGAAUGGAAAAAAAGAAAAUUCUGUCAGUUAAUUGGAGGAUUGGUUUCAGUUGACACUAACAUCAUAUUAUUCCCUUACAAGUUUUUUAGCUUCUUCAAAUUCACAAUUGAUGGUGGAAGGGUACCGUUCAACCCCGUGUUGUACGAUAGAUCCCUAUAACCAGACACUGUUAAUGAGCAAGGAAUCCUUGGAAUGGAAAACAAUCACUAUGUUCAUAUAUCAAGAAAAAGGAUGAAAGGAGCUCUGGGAAUGAGGCCUUUUCUCAAUAGGUGCCUCAUGCCUUGAGAUCCGGAUGCUAGAGCAGCCCAGUCUAGACAUCUGGAAAGCCAAAGAGUAUCGUAGCACUACAUCAUUUAUUAUGUGAAGUGAAACUCAAGACUUACAGAACCUCCAAUUCUGACAAGUAGGAGAUGUCUCCAGACAGCUCACCCGUCAAUCCCACAGCUGCCAACGUUCUGCAGUUGAAAAUAGUCAGCUAAUCUCGAAACUUGGAGAGGGAAGAAGGUGCGAGGCUUAAUUAACAUUUGAAGCUGAACAACUGCCUAUAACUUACAUCGAAGUCACACGUGAAUUGUAACAUGAAAUGCCUUCCCAUUUGCCUCCACAGGGAUCUCCACCCACCCAAUUACGUGGUGUGUUUUCCCAGGCAUCCUUGAGAAUACUCAUUACUGUAACUGCAUCAGGAAUGGGGCAGAACAAUAAAAAAAUUCCAUGAUUCAUUCACCAUCAGAGUUGUCUAGUUACAUGGAGUAUGGAGGAUCCAUUAAAGCUAGCAAAGAUCUCUACUAAAUCUAAUCUAGCCUCGAACUUUAAUGAGUGAUUUUUGGCCCAAGUGCAGGCAAUUCAGAAUAUUCAUUCUGCAGUUCAUCUAUAAAGUUAAGAAGACCCUUAAGCACUUGAUUCUGAUUAGCAUAAAAAGCUACAUCCUACAUGAGACAUGGCUCAAAAAAUCUUUGCAGUAAAUGGGGAAUGUUAAUUUAUUGAACUUACAAUCAUCACCAUAGGUCUCUGUAUAAAUCUGAAAGGAAGCAACCAGCAAAAACGUGAGAACUUUAGGACACAUUUCUCAACAAAAUUGCAAAGCUCUUUGUUAUGAAUGUUGCUAACUCCAAAACCCUUAAUAGCAGAAGAAAUGAUAUCUAGAAGUACAACUCUUAAUAUGAUAAAACAUGGAAGGAAGAUCUUUACAUAUCCCCAUCGUUUACUUAUCUCAAGAUUUAUCGUGAAAGGACAUGAAUGGGACAAUUAUGUUCGUAUGAAUCACAUACUAAAUACAAAGACAAUUGACCUCUCAUCUCUAGUCAUUUUCAAGUUUACAGUCAAUAGAAGAACCCACCAAAUGGUUUCUUGCAUGUAGUGUAGAGUGAUACUUGCAGAGUGAAUAGUAUUUCCACAUUUCCUAGAAGUAACAGGGGUCAUGAUUGUCUGCUAAAGUCAUUAUUGAAACCAUAUUUCUAGUGGUUUCUUCAGUGAUACUUAAGAUGCUCUUCGAUUCUGUUUUGUUAUUUUUUCAUAUUUCUAGUUUAACUUGGAUUUUAUGUUGUUUUUUUUUUUUUAUCCUAUUUGAUUUAAGAUUCUGAUUUUUUAACUUUGUAAAAGUCUAUUAUUAAUCUAUUUAAGGAGUUGUAAGCUUCUCGAAGAAACAAAUAUAUUAGAAAAAAAUAAUAUUAAGUAAUAAAACUCGAAUAAUUAAAGACUCUAAUUGUUUGAGACCCUUUUCAGCGAAAUUAUAUCUUUCUUUCUUCUUCCUUUCUUCCUGUCAAAAGUCGAGUUUCUUCUAAAAACUAACCAUCUAAUGCAAGCAACAAUAAUUUUGAUAUUAAUUAAAUAGGGCAGGAGCUCUGAUUCUCAUACGUAUAUUAAUUAAAGUUCACUAAUCUCAAAUAAUUUUCUUCUUAAUUAAGAAAAUAGAAACCGUAAAAGAAGGGAAAGAAAUAGCUGUUCGCUAGUCAUUUAAAUUGACAGAAAUAAAUUUUGGUCGGUCAAGAGAUAAGAGACGAACAAAACUCCACCAGGGAAAGAAUGCUUGCAUCAGUCCCUUGCUGAUUUGCUUGACCAAUCAGCACUUUAACCUGAUUUGUGAGAGGAGUAUAUCCAAGAUCGACGGAGAACGUGUUGCAAAUAUGUUUAUGGACUAUACAGAUAAGGCCAGACUGCAAAAGAAGUUCGUGAAGAAUCAUAAAUAUGAAUGGGGUUUAUUCUAAAUUAUAGCAUUGAAUUGCACUCAAAUUUUACCGAAAGAUUCUACAGUCCCAGCUGUUCCUCAUAGGACUAUAUGAAUCUUCUCAAAUCAGGUCUACUGAACGAAUUGUUGUGUUAUUUUUUUUUGGUUAGAUUAUUAUUACAAGCUUAUAUCUAUUUCUCUACAAUUUGAAGUCUGCAACCUUAGAGUUUGAAAACCUUAAUUUUUAUCUAUGCUAUAUGAUUUGUCAAAGAUUUUAUCAACCUCAACCGUAAUGCAACAAUAAUAUUGGGAAAAAAGUAUUAAAAAUGCCAAUUUGAUUAUUACUUUAUGACUUGCUGCUGCCAUUGUUAUUAACAAGCAGUUGGUUGCUACAGAGACAAAAACUUGUCUAUCUGACAAGAGUAGAAAAUGAAUCAUGAAGAUAUCAGAAUUUCUUCCAAACGAAUCAUUCCUUGUAAUUGCAAACACAUGGGUCCCCUCCUCUCCAUGAAUGCUUACAACAAAUCAUUCUCUUAGACUUGACAGCGCCUGACCUAAUCUUGAUCCGUGGGGAAGACGGCACUGCAGUUUCUCAGAUAAUGCCAACAAUAAGGACAGUACACAAGAAAGGUAAACCCAAGAAACCAGAGAUUUAACUGCACUCCUCAUUAACAGUAUCAUAAAAGGCAAAAAGGUCGUGAAGAAAAUGAAAAUAGCGAGCUCAGUAUGCUACAAAGUGCAAACAACACAAGAAAAUGGCAACUCGUACUCUCAGGUAAGAAGUAUCACUGAAACAUUUGCCAAGCCAAGCUCAUACCAAGGAUUCUGAGCUCACUCAUAUAUAGUGGCUCUACCUUUGAAACUGGGAAGUCCCCUCUGUAAUCAAAGGCAUCCCUUGCUUGCAUCGUCAUAGUUGUUUGCUAGUCAUUUAAAUUGACAGUAAUAAAUUUUUGUCAGUCAAGAGAUUAGAGCCAAAGAAAACUCAACAAAAUAUUUGAACUCACUCGUGGAAAGAAUGCUUGCAUCAGUCCCGCGGUGAUUUGCUUGACCAAUCAGAAUUUUUACCUGAUUUGUUAGUCAGAGGAAUAUAUAUAUCCUAGAUUGAUGGGAGUAACUGGUUGCAAAUAUGUUUAUAGAACAAAUAGAUAAGGUUAGAUAUAAAUACAUAUCACCUCACAAUACGGAUAGAAAAAAUAUAUAUGUGAUUUUGUUUGUUUUCGUAGAUUUUCUGGUAGUAAAAUUAUGCAUUAGUUAAAGGAUCCAUGAACCUUGUCAUAAUCCAAUUUUUUACUUAUUUAUUUAAUUUUUUUUGUGUUAUUUAUUUAUUUAUUGAUUUUUACAAUAUUUCCUAAAAAAAUAAAAAAAUUAUUGAUGAAAAACAAAUAAAAAGUUAAAUAAAUGAAGAGUGAAUUAAAAUGUAGGUUAAGGCAACAUGAUUGGAAGUUUAGAGAGAUUAAUUAAACUCUUGACUACUUUAAUUAAUAAAUCAAGGGCUUAAUUGAAGAAUUGAGAGACUUAAUUAAGUUGAGAAUUAAUUAAAUUAAUCAAAUCAAGGGCUUAAUUGGAGAAUUGAUAAGUUUUGAGACUUAAUGGAGCUUAGGAUUAAUUUAAUUAAUGAAAUCAAAGGCUUAAUUGAAGAAAUAUCAAAGUUUGGGGUUAAUUGGGGUCAAAAGUGCAACAUAUUAAAGUCCAAGGACUAGCUUGUAAAAGGCACCGAAAUGCAAGUAUCCAAUUACAUUUUAACCAGGGGCUUGAUUGCAACAUUACAAGAAUUCCAAGGACCACAUUUAAAGCAGCCUUUGGAAUUGGAAAACGAAGUCGUUUUGGCAAGCGACUGUUCGUCGUCUUCUUCCUCGGUAACGGCUCCGGCAUUAAAGGCAGAGACGUUUCUCCAUUGAAUGCAGCACCCCACGGCCAUUACUGCCGGCCGUUACCAGCGCCGAUCGAUCUCUGACUCUAUAAAAAGCCGGGUAAAGGCAACCUCGCGAGAGGGGGGAAGACUGAGAGAGAGGAGGCAGAACAGAAACGAAAGGGGAGGAGAAACAGAACCAGGGCAAAGUUUUGGUCCAUUCAACCAGCAGCACCUCGUGCUUUUACCACAACCGUCUUCUUCCUGAACGGAGAAGACUGGACAGAGCAACAGAAGAGGGAGAACAGAGGGGGAAGGAAGAGGACCGAACGGACAGAACAGGCGAGAGCUAGAGAGAGACGGACAUGGACAGAGGAAGCCAGUAAAGGGAAGGAAUUAAAGACAGAGGAACACAAAAAAAAAAACAGCAAAAAGUAAAGGAAAACGAGAAUCAGAGACAUAGUAAAGCAGAGGAGAGGAGAACAGCCGACCACCACGCUUCAGUUAUCAUCUCCGUUCCUGCGUUGAGGUAAGCCCCGCUUCUUUUGCAUUUUAAUUCACUGCUACAGUAGGAAUUACAAUUCACUGCUACAGUACAGCGAAUUAUAAUUCGCUUGCUACUGUAGCAAGUCCAGCCGGGUCACUGGUCACCAGUGACCCGGCCGAGUCAGCUGGAUCAAGUUCAGCUCACAAGUGACCCGGUCGAGUCAGCUGGGUCAAGUUCAGCUCACAUGGGCUGAGCUGAACCAGCCCAAAAAAUAUAAAAAUAUAAAUAAAAAAGAUAAAUAAAAAAAAAAAAAAAUAGAAAUAGAAAUUGUGCAUGCAUUAGAAAUAAGAAAAUAAAAUGUGUUUUUAUUCACUAAUGCCAGAAUAAAAAAAAAAUUUAUUAUUUUUUUUAGCUAAGAAUUAUACUUAACAACACAAAAGUUGAGAUUAUUCAUAGUAGAAUAUUUACCAACGCUAGAGUUGAAAUUAUUCGUAUUAGAAUUUUUACCAAAGCCAAACUUUGAAUUAUUUCAUAAUGAAAUAUUUACCAACACCAGAAUUGAAAAUAUAUGUAAUUAAAUAUUCACUGAUGCUAGAAUCAUGAAUAUUACUGGUGAACCGUCAUAACACAAAUCAACAAAAAAUUUAGCAAUUUAAAACAAGACUAGCAAUGCAGCUUACCUUAGGUAGAGUGCGCUAGGGGUGCUAAUACCUUCUCUAGUCACGACCCGAAUCCCGGAUCCAUGACCGACACAUAGGCAAGGUUCCCCUCCAAGGUUCCAUAUCUAUGCGAACCCAAACUUACACACAAACUUAUCCUAACUUAAUCAGAGUUCAACACAGCAUUAAUAACAAAAUCAACUUCAUAAUAUAAUUGAAUUGUCUUAAUACAAGAGUUAAUAUAAUUCAUAGUUUUGGAGCACUAAUUUGACAUAAAAGGAAGGUACAAAUUACAACCAAAAAGCAGGUUCGGAAGGUUCAACAAAAGUAACAUGCUAUCAAGCUAUAAGCCUGAAAAGAAUAAUAAUGAGAGGGUGAGUUCAACAACUCAGUGAGUAGAUAACGUUCAAUAUACACACACGAGGUAAUAAAACAAUGAGAAAUAUAUAUACAAGUAUGACUUUAGGUUCUUAUGGAAAUGUUUUUCAAAUUGGCCAUAACAAGAAUGUCAUAUGGUAAAACUCGUCAGAAAAUCAAAAUGCAAUGAGCAUGAAGUAUGACUUUAGGUUCUUAUGGAAAUGUUUCUCAAAUUGGCCAUAACAAGAAUGUCAUAUGGUAAAACUCGUCAAAAAAUCAACAUGCAAUGAGCAUGAGGCUCCGUACUGUGGGAUGAUCAGUCCACACAGGUUGGUGACUCCCCCAACCAACUAGGGUUCAGAUACGAUGUGCACAAAGACUAACACUACCUUGUUAGCAUGGGUAUUCUGACUGACAUACCAUAGGUUCAUAAUCAUAAUCAUAAUCAAACAGACAUAUUCAUAUCUUAAGGCUCAACUCAUGACAUCAAUCAAAUGAGGAGCUAUCAAUUCAGAAGUCAAUUCAAAAUAUAUACUGGUUCAUAUCAAGAAUUCAGAUUCAACAAUUGAUCAUGCUUUAUCAUAACAAGGAUAAUAAUCAACAUAUAUAUUAUCAAGAAGCAUGAUCCAAUUCAUAUUAACAAAUCAAAUAUUUAUAAUAUUUCUCAUGCAUAUGGAAAAUUAUCCACUCACUUGACUCGAAAGCAACAAAACUCAAAGCUGAUAUCGAAGGAAAUCCUACUGACGUCCCGCCGGUAAAAUAUCAGGAUUAUCUGAAUACAAAUGAGACAUAUUCAAGAAUGACUCAAAAAAACAUAUAACCUAUUUAAUACACUUAUCUAAAGGUGUAUUCCAUAACUGUCACGACCCGAAUCCCGGAUUCAUGACCGGCACAUAGGCAAGGUUCCCCUCCAAGGUUCCAUACCUAUGCGAACCCAAACUUACACACAAACUUAUCCUAACUCAAUCAGAGUUCAACGCAACAUUAAUAACAAAAUCAACUUCAUAAUAAUUGAAUUGUCUUAAUACAAGAGUUUAUAUAAGUUCAGAGUUUUGGAGCACUAACUAAACAUAAAGGAGAGAUACAAAGUACAACCAAAGAGCAGAUUCUGAAGGUCCAACAAAAUGACCUGCUAUCAAGCUAUAAGCCUGAAAAGGAUAAAUAAUGAGAUGGUGAGUUCAACAACUCAGUGAGUAGAUAACGUUCAAUAUACACACACGAGGUAAUACAGCAAUGAGAAAUAUAUAUACAAGUAUGGCUCUAGGUUCUUAUAGAAAGGUUUCUCAAAUAGGCCAUAACAAGAAUAUCAUAUGGUAAAACUCGUCAGAAAAUCAAAAUGCAAUGAGCAUGAGGCUCCGUACUGUGGGAUGAUCAGUCCACACAGGUUGGUGACUCCCCCGACCAACUAGGGUUCAGAUACGAUGUGCACAAAGACUAACACUACCCUGUUAGCAUGGGUAUUCUGACUGACAUACCAUAGGUUCAUAAUCAUAAUCAAACAGACAUAUUCAUAUCUCAAGGCUCAACUCAUGACAUCAAUCAAAUGAGGAGCUAUCAAUUCAGAAUUCAAUUCAAAAUAUAUACUGGUUCAUAUCAAGAAUUCGGAUUCAACAAUUGAUCAUGCUUUAUCAAAACAAGGAUAAUAAUCAAC
This 55407-nucleotide long non-coding RNA is filed under the name Populus trichocarpa (black cottonwood). RNAcentral describes it as "long non-coding RNA (PTRI_LNC001354)". The record is from RNAcentral. Lineage: Eukaryota; Viridiplantae; Streptophyta; Magnoliopsida; Malpighiales; Salicaceae.